This 83885-nucleotide long non-coding RNA is filed under the name Capsicum annuum. RNAcentral's name for it is "long non-coding RNA (CANN_LNC003584)". The record is from RNAcentral. Lineage: Eukaryota; Viridiplantae; Streptophyta; Magnoliopsida; Solanales; Solanaceae.
UUUUUUUUUUUUUUUUUUGGUUUUCUCCUUCUCUUUGAGGAUUCAAAAAAUUAUAGGGUCCAAAAUUAGGGUUUGAAAAGUGGGUUGGGAAUUCUGAAAGUAAAAGAGCUUUUUUUUUGAAAAUUUUCUCGUCCAUUCUUUCUAGGAAGCUGGUCAAUCAAUUGGAAGUUCCCGAGUUGACAACAUCAACUGCCGGUGGUGACAGUUUUGCUGAUAGCUCGUCGUCCUAUUUGCUGCCCUUAAAGAGGCAAGCAGACUCUGUUUUUCCCCUUAAUUUGACCGUUCCUCAUCUUUUCUUCUUCGUAGCUGAUAUAGCCAUAAUCGUAAUCUUGUUCUACUGAGAGUAGCUGAUGUAGUCGAAGUCGCAACUUUAUUUUCUGGGAUUAGCUGUUGACGGCCUUGGAGGCCAUAGGUUUAUUUGUUGAAGAUGAUUUCUUUUAACGUGUGUUUGGUGGGAUAGUUUUAGAUUGCUAAUUAAAUCACACUGUGGUAAAAUUACUGUUUUUCCUGAUUUUCCAUCUAUGUUUGAUAGUUUUCUAUGUCAUUGAGGUCUGAAUGUUGUUCCAAGUGAUUAUAUCCAAAUGAUUGUUUUGAACAAUAAUCUUUCGUUCAUGAUCAUUGAUGCCUCCACCCAUUUGAAUAUUAAUUGGAUGUGGUAUUUCGAUUCGUUUCUCAUAAUAUUCUCUAGCCUAUUGUUUAAGAGUAAGUACGCCUGUCAUUUCUCUGCUAGAGUUGUUUAGUUGUUGUCUUUGCUUGGUAUUAAAGUCUUAAAUUUGGACUUUCAUUUUUUCUUUGAGUCCAUUUUUGACAGGAGAUCAGGUUGGAAGGGGUGAAUGUACUGGUUUCUGUAGAAAGACUAGACGUUAAGUGUGUUUGUUUAGGAUAAGUCUUCUUUAAAACAUGGAUUAUUCAAAGAGGUAUGAUGUUCGCGAAUAUUAAAAGACAAUGUUCAGAAGAGAUGGGGAAGUCAAUGGGGUGGAGAGUUAAUUUCCUUGUGUUGGAUUGAUUCAGUUGAGUUUUCAAACAUUUGCAUGCCUUCAAGUGAAUCAUGAUUUGGGGUAAUAAUAAUUGUAUGUUAACGUAUAUAUACAUUCAAGAACAUAUCUUUUAAUAUUCUUGUUAUAUUAUGUUUUUUUUAUUUCAUCCAUAGAAACGUGCAUUGCUCAAUCUUUUAAUACCAUGUUGGUUUCCUUAUUCACGUAAAAUUUCGCUUGUUUUUUUCUUUACACUAUUGAUCAUUGUUAUUCAUAGAAACUGCCACCAGUCCUUUAGUAUUGUUAUUAUAAUACUUUGUGUUUGUUAAGGUAAACAUAUCUAUUUUCCUAUGCAUCUCCCAUAGGAUCCAUUUAGUAGAAACAGAGGUGAAAAUAAAUGUGUUGUUAUCAUAAUGUUUGUGUUAUAUCUGCUAUUCUGUGUCACAGAUAUUUUGGUUGCUUUUGUAGGUUGUUUGUUAGUUAUUGGUUAUCACUAUGCCAUAGUUUUACGUCUGCAUUUGCGUUUUUACUUCGUAUUUGUUUAAUGUUGCUUGUACAAAUGGUUGCUAUGAAUUCUGGUACUUGUGUCGUUUUUUUAGUGUUAUAAUCAUGUGUUUUAAUUUUAUUCAUCCUAUUUUGUCUCUUAUGCAUAUCGACUCAUUUUUAAACUUAGUCAAUUAUGCGAUUCGGAAUGAUUCUAAUUCUUGUCUUUCUUUCUUUACAUGUGAAUCUGUUUUAGAGUCCACGAUGGACUCCUUCCCAUUGCAUUGUCAAGUGGUCCAAUGAGGCUCAUGUCAAAGUGAUCCCAUGGCGUAUAAACAUGUGAAGUCGAACGAAGAAGAAAAGAAUGGGUUAAAAUCCCAUCGUUGAAGCGUUCAAGAGACUUAAAAGUCUUGGUUUCCAUUUUAUUUAUUCUCUUAGUGUUGUUUUCUUUAUUUAUUUAGUUAUUUAUUUUAUUUAUUCAUUUAGGCCUCAAAGCCAAAGUUGUACUUAAUAUAGGUGGAGCGAUACUCGAGCCGAAAGCUUGAAAACUAGAUUAGGACAGGGUCAACGGUUUGGGCUUAAAAGCCUAAAUCAUUACUCCUCCUUUAUCCCUUUUCCCUUUUGCUUAUUUUUUUUACAUGUUUCUUGAGAAUCUAGUUGAUUCCCCUAACUAAGUCGCUAAAAUUUUGAUUUUGCAAAACCUUUUCGUAAUUAACUACUUUUCAACAAAUUAAUCUAUUUUGAAGUCAAUCAAAAGACGUUUUUAAACAGUCCGGAUAACCGCAAGUUAGCUGACAUUUUAGGUGCCUAACACCUUCCUAAAACGUUAAUAAGAACCACUUAUUCAGAAUCUUCAAAACUUGAGCGAUUUAUCUAUUUUGGAUCGUUUAAAGUGUUUAAGGUUUCUUAAUUCAUUUUCAAAAUUAAGUGGCGACUCUCAAAAGCCAAAAUUUUGGUCUAAACACUGGCUAAGAAGUAAAGUUUUAUAAGAUAGUUUUAUUCCACAUGAUAAGAAAGUGUGAUGUAUCGUGUAGUCGAGUUAUUUUAAUUGUUUGAUGAUAAGAUUGAGACCUGUUACAAAAUAUUUAAAAGAUGUAGAACUAAUAUUCAUAGGAUUAUUUCAUACAAAAAUUGAAACAAAAGAUACUUCAAUUAACAAUAAAGUCUUGGAUCAUCUUCUCAAAGAUGAUUAUGGUUGAUAGCUGCAACAAAUAUGUCAUAAACACAUAUUUUUCUUAUUUUAAUUAAAUACUAUUAAUUUUCUAAUACUAUUAAUUUUCUAAUACAUAAAUGACUUAUAGUAAUUAAUUAGGGGUGAUAUAGUGAAAUACGGUGCAACUCUUGAAGCAGCCAUGUCGAAAUCAAUAUUUUAAUUAAAUAUUAUGAAUUUUUUAAUACAUAAAUAAAUAAUAAAAAAAUAUUAUUAAUUAUAAUAUAUAAAUGACUUAUAAUAAUUAAUUAGGGGUAAUAUAGUAAAUAAUGGAGCAAUUAGAGGUAAUAUGGCAAAAUGGCUUAUAAUAAUUAAUUAGGGGUAAUAUAAUAAAAAAAUAUUAUUAAUUCUAAUAUAUAAAUGACUUAUAAUAAUUAAUUAGGGGUAAUAUAGUAAUUCACGGAGCAAUUAGGGGUAAUAUAGUAAUUGAUGAAGCGCUGGUCGAAACCAUAGACAAACAUGUCAUCUAUUUUUUCAAUUAAAUAUUAUUAAUUUUUAAUACAUAAAUGUCAUAUAAUAAUUAAUUAAGGAUGAUAUAAUAAAAUCACAGUUAAAGCAGCUGAAACAAAUGUCAUAAAUAUCUAUUUUUUUUAAUUACAUUUUUUUAAUUCUAAUAUAUAAAUGACUUAUAAUAAUUAAUUAGGGGUAAUAUAAUAAAAAAUAGUAUUAAUUCUAAUAUAUCAAUGACUUAUAAUAAUUAAUUAGGGGUAACAUAGUAAAUCACGAAGCAGUCAGAGAUAAUAUAGUAAAUGACGAAGCAGCUGGUUUUUUAAUUAAAUAUUAUUAAUUUUUAAUACAUAAAUGACUUAUAAUAAUUAUUUAGGAAUGAUAUAGUAAAAUCACGGUUAAAACAGCUGAAACAAACAUCAUAAAUAUCUAUUUUUUAAUUAAAUAUUAUUAAUUCUAAUAUAUAAAUGACUUAUAAUAAUUAAUUAGGGAUGAUAUAGUAAAAUCACGAUUAAAACAGCUGAAACAAACAUCAUAAAUAUCUAUUUUUUAAUUAAAUAUUAUUAAUUAUAAUAUAUAAAUGACUUAUAAUAAUUAAUUAGGGAUGAUAUAGUAAAAUAUUUUUUAAUUAAAUAUUAAUAAUUCUAAUAUAUAAAUGACUUAUAAUAAUUAAUUAGGAGUAAUAUAAUAAAUUAUAAAGUAAUUAAGAAUAAAAUGAUAAAUAAUAAAGUGCUCAUCGAAAUCAGCUCCCCUAUAAUAUAUAGAAAAGAAAAGAGAUGUGGCCGUCAGAUCAAAAAUUUCACCGACAACGUUCAUUUAGCAAUGACAUUUGCCAACUCAAAAGCAUCAAAUUUGAAUUUACGAAUAAAUUAUCUAGCGAAUGUAAUUGUUUUGGCCGGCUGACCAUAUAUAUAUAAUGCCCUUCUUAUUUUGUCAUGCCUAUCUUAAGGUUUAUUGAUUUCUUGUAUAAUUUUUAACGUUUUCCAUGGCUGAAAUUAUACAAGGGUGCAGUUUCUUUAAUGUCUAUGAUUAUUAAUUACUUUUCAUGUGUGUUAAAUGGAAGUAACUUAAAUUACUUGAUAUCUGUUAAAGUACGAGUUUGGAUUUUUUUAUUUUUUUUCUCUUGCAUAUACUGAUUUAAGGGCUGAAAAUUAUUCAUCAGAAAAAAAGAGUAGAGGAUGCAACUAGACAUCAUUUCGAAAACAAAAGAAUAUGGAGUAUAUAUAUUAAGAUGAACUGACGUGACAAUGAUUGGUUACCAUAUGAUGAUCUCCAACAGUAAAAUUGGACAAAAUAUUCUGGAGUUUUUGGCCAUAAAAUCCAGGAUCCAAUGAAUCAAUGUCAUCCCAAUUAGUACUAGAAUUAGAACUACAAGAAGAAGAAUUGUGUCCUCCAGAAUUGCACCACUUCCCAUGCACCAGCCCCUGGGGCGAGCGAUCUAGGAUACCCCUGUCUAUCUCAUCUAAAGUAGGAUCGCCUUCUUUAAAUGGCCGAGCAAAUACUGCCCAUCUGUUCACAAGAUCAUCGUAGUGGUUUGAAACAUUUAUUGGCGCGGAACACCUGAGAUCCUGGUUUACUAUUGUUUUUAUAAAUUCUGGUGAAUUGCAUAGAACAGUGUGGAAGUAGGAUUCAAGAGGAGACACUACAUUGGCGUAGUACAUAAGUAACUUCCUAGGGAAAUUGUCCCAACCUUUGAUGCAGUGCUCCAUAAAUCCUCUGCUCAACACCAUCCAAGGCGAACCUAGAAAUUGAAAUUUAACAAGAAAUGAGAUCAUUUUUGAAAAUUACACAAUACAUUAUACAUAUAUAAAGCAAAUGAAUUAAUUAGCCAACCUUCGAAUAUAUCGAAAGUUGUUGGUACUUCUCUAGUCUCUACAGCAUAGUAAAGUGGAGCAGCCUGUUUUGAAUAUAGGCUUGGAUCAACAACAAUCCGAUUGAAGUUGUUCUGCCUGCAGUAACAUUGCAUUUUCAGAAAAACAAUCACACCCUUAGUUGCAGCGUUGGUUACGUGCAAAGCUCUAAGGUAUAUAUAUAAAAGGCGUAGUACAUAGACACUUGAUCUUAACUGACAACUAAGCAUCCCAACUUUGAAAAUGCACAUUUAGACUCCUUAACAUGGUUUGAGUUAGUCCCGAAAAAGGACUAUUGGCAAUCAGUGACAGCUUACCCUUUCUGAUCAAAAGUCCUAUUGGUGAAGCCUACGAAAUUGAGAUCCCUUGGCAAGGAAGUGAGAGCAAACAAGACAUCUGCAAUCAAAAGAGCGGAUGGUCAAUUAGUUGCAGUGUUACAAAGUAAUAGGACUAGCUAAGCUACUGGUGAUCACGAAAAAUUUACCAUCUUGAGUAAGAAGAGGGUAGUCAGAAGAGCUUAAGGUGAAAAACCAGUCCCAUGUCGGACUAAUUCGAAGGAGCAAGGCAGCAGCAUGAAGCAUAGCAGCAAGAGCAGAGGCACCUGAUUCCUCCACAGCAUAACUUUUUCCGACAACGUUCACAUUCCCAAAUACUUUAAACACAUGUUCGGAUUCAACUGAAACAGCUAAUUCAACUCUUUCUUCAUCUCCAUCUCCAUCAAGAAGUUGCAAAAGAUACUGAUUUCUUGGGUGAUACACUGCUCUUAAUAGCCUCAACAUUCUUUUACUUUCCCCUUUAUAACCAAAAAUCCAAUAAGCCAAGAUUGGAGGAUCACCAGGCCGUCCUUUUGACGGAUGGAUCAUCUUUGUAACUCUCUUUAUCGAUGCCACGUUUGCGCGAUCUGGAAUACUAUUCAUCAACCUGUACUGAUCAUCAAAUCUGCUGCAGAAGAAUCCUAAGACUAAAAGUAGCAAAACUGCUGCAACAAAAACCGGAAACGGAACACCUUGACGACUUCUCCAAUUCCAGGAAAGUAACAUCAUUGUUUAUUAUCUGUUGAAUAUUUGAUCUUAAUAUUAUACUGAAAGGCUUAAUGACGUGAAUUUUCAGGAAGAUGUAAUAGGCUUUGGCUAAUUAUGACAAGUGAAUAAAACAGGUUUGUGGGACAUGUUAGAGAGUGAAAAAAUAAGAUACGUUACCAACCAAAAUGAAACAGGUCAUGUGUGACAUCUUAAUUAAUUGUUAGGAAAUAAAUGCUAUGUUGAUGAAAACUUACAGCACAACUACACCACCAAAUUUCCAUGUUUUUUUCUGGUGACAAGGCAACAGCCGCUUCAAGCUGGAACUGCAGACAGUCCGUUCACCUUUAUUUGUUUUUAAUUUUUAUUUAUCCAUUUUAGCUUAUCAAGAAAAGAUAAUUUUUUUUUUAUAUUAUAAUCUUAAUAUUAACUACUCAUUCUAGAUCAUUUCUCAAGUCCGUUAAGAUUAUAAAUCAUAAUAAAAUAUGUACUUCAUUUUUUUCUCUUAAUGGUGUGUAAAAUCUAUUAUGAGCAAAUAAAAAUGAACGGAGAAAUUUUUUUUUUAAGUGAAGUAAUAGUAAAAGGUCAAAAUAAUACAGCUAGUUGGAACCAUUCAUCAGACGUGUAUUGAUUAGUCUUCUCAAGCACUCGGAUCAGCUAUUUUAAACUUUUAUGAGUUCUAUAAAAAUCUUAAAUUAAUAUAUGAUAAUAAGUAUAAUAUAAUACUAAUAACUGAAUUUACAAUCAAAUUUUCUCGAGGAAGCAUGAACCUGUAACGCUGACAGAGGUUAUAGUUUUUCGUGGGCUAGUUUUUCUUCUUCUUUUUUUUUUUCUUUUCAGAAAUUAUGUCAACCUAAUUCCCUUGUUUCAUUCCAACUUAAUAUAAUGCUCUUUUAAUUUUCAAAAUAGGUAUUUCAUAGUCAUGUAAGAGAUAUUGAAUCAUCCACUUGGAAAUCAGUUGAGUGUAAAAUUGCACAUUUAGCUUAUACAAUUAUGUCUACAUCUGUCCAUGAACAACUCCUUGAGACUCUUCUUUUCUAAAAAAAGAGAAGAAGGAAAAUUGGUUGGGGGUUGGGGGUAAGGAAACGGGGAAUAUGAAAGGGCUUGCAACGUGGGAAAUAUAACUCUCACCAACAAGAUGGAGUUCAGAUAGUCAACCAACUAAGCUACUAAGAUCCCUUAACUCUUUGCGACUCAUGUUUCUCUCCUCAUACUUCUAAAAUAAGUACAAACAAAACAUAUUUUCUACCUAGACGAAUCAAUAAUACACAUUUUAAUUAAUCAAAGGUUAGAUGUAUUUGGCCCCAUAAUAGGAUCAAGCGUGUUUCCACCGGAAGCAUAAUCUAAUAUUUCUUUUAGAGUUUAGAAGAAGUUCACAAGGACCAAAAGUCAAAAUUUACUAAUAAUUGAGGGACCAAAGAUGCUAUUAUCCCAAACUUAAAACAACCUCAUCACUAUUGUUCUGUUACUUAUCCAAACUGUCUUAACUACCAACAAUGUCCCUUUGGACAUGUACACUCUCUGUUUCCCCUCUUAGUGUUUCUCUUCAACAUCCUUCCUAUUCACUUACCCAAAACCCACCAAGAAAACUACCUUCUUCACUCACAAGUACACUCAUUUCCAAGAAAUAUCAACAAGAACUCACCUCAGAAACACCCUCUGUAGCUCCAUGGAUCGAUACUCUUCGGUCCCAAGUACGCUUAAACUGCUUCAAAGAAGCAAUCUUUACAUAUAUACAGAUGAAUGUUGAAGGCAUUAAGCCUGAUAAUUUUGUUUUCCCUGCUGUUCUGAAAGCUGUUACUGGUCUUCAGGACUUGAAUCUUGGAAAACAGAUACAUGGGGCUGUUGUUAAAUUUGGGUAUGAUACUACAUCAGUCACCGUGGCGAAUUCUGUUAUCCAUUUACUUGGGAGGUGCGGUGGGAGUGUUCAUGAUGUUUAUAAAGUGUUUGAUAGGAUUAGUCAGAGAGAUCAAGUUUCUUGGAAUUCUUUGAUUAAUGCUCUUUGUAAAUUUGAGGAGUGGGAGUUGGCAUUGGAGGCUUUUAGGUUGAUGGGGUUAGAUGGAUUCGAGGCUAGUUCAUUUACGUUGGUGAGUAUGGCACUUGCUUGUAGUAAUUUACCUAGGACUGAUGGGUUGAGGCUUGGAAAGCAAGUGCACGGGUAUAGUUUGAGAGUAGAUGAUAGGAGGACUUAUACAAACAAUGCUUUGAUGUCUAUGUAUGCAAAAUUAGGAAGAGUGGAUGAUGCAAGAGCUGUUUUUGAGUUGUUUACUGAUCGGGAUAUUGUUUCGUGGAAUACUAUUAUAAGUUCUUUUUCACAGAAUAACCAGUUUCAAGAGGCGUUGGAUAACUUUAGAGUCAUGAUACAAGAAGAGAUAAAGCUUGAUGGAGUCACGAUUUCAAGUGUUGUUCCUGCUUGUUCUCAUCUGGCUUUGCUGGAUGUUGGGAAGCAAAUUCAUUGUUAUGUUUUGAAGAAUGAGGAUUUGAUUGGGAACUCAUUUGUUGAUAGUGCAUUGGUUGAUAUGUAUUGCAAUUGUCAACAGGUUGAAAGUGGGCGUCGAGCUUUUGACAGUGCCUUGAAAAGGAGCAUAGGGCUUUGGAAUGCUAUGCUUGCUGGCUACACACAAAAUGGAUUCUUUACGGAGGCAUUGAUGUUAUUUACAGAGAUGGUGGAAUUCUCUGGGCUAAAUCCAAACCCGAUCACUAUCGCAAGUGUUUUGCCUGCCUGUGUACAUUGUGAAGAAUUUACCGUUAAAGAAGUCAUCCAUGGGUAUGUUAUUAAAUUGGGUUUCGCAGAUGAAAAGUACGUGGAAAAUGCACUGAUGGACUUGUAUUCUAGGAUGGGAAAGAUAAAUGUAUCAAAGUAUAUAUUUGACAACAUGGAGAGUAAAGAUAUAGUUUCAUGGAAUACUAUGAUAACCGGUUUUGUAGUUUGUGGAUACCAUGAAGAUGCACUUAUUAUGUUACGUGAGAUGCAAACAACAAAAAGAAACAAUGACACUGAGAAUAAUGUAGAAUUUCGGUUAAAACCUAACUCAAUAACCCUCAUGACCGUCCUUCCUGGUUGUGCCUCGCUGGUUGCUCUAGCAAAGGGCAAAGAGAUACAUGCUUAUGCUUUUAGAAAUGCAUUGGCAAUGGAUGUUGCCGUGGGAAGUGCAUUGGUUGAUAUGUAUGCAAAGUGUGGCUGCUUAGAUGUUGCUAAAAGAGUUUUUGACAGCAUGACUACCAAAAAUGUGAUCACAUGGAAUGUUCUCAUUAUGGCUUAUGGGAUGCAUGGAAAUGGAGAGGAAGCGUUAGAACUUUUUAGGAUGAUGGUGCUCGAAGGGAAAGUGAAGCCAAAUAAUGUUACCUUUAUUGCAAUUUUUGCUGGAUGCAGUCACUCAGGCAUGGUUGAUCAAGGUCGGCAAUUAUUCCGAAAAAUGAAAAAUGCUUAUGGUAUUGAACCAACUGCGGAUCAUUACGCCUGCAUUGUUGAUUUGCUUGGUCGAGCAGGCCAUCUGGAAGAAGCAUAUCAGCUUGUCAAUGAGAUGCCCCCUGAAUACAACAAAAUUGGCGCCUGGAGUAGUUUACUCGGUGCCUGCAGGAUACAUCACAACGUAGAACUUGGUGAGAUUUCAGCAAGGAAUCUCUUCGAGUUAGAUCCACAUGUAGCUAGUCACUAUGUUUUACUCUCCAACAUUUAUUCAUCUGCUGGGAUCUGGGAAAAAGCAAACAUGGUACGACGUAACAUGAAAAAUACUGGAGUAAGAAAAGAACCUGGAUGCAGUUGGAUUGAGUUAGGAGAUGAAGUUCACAAGUUCAUAGCUGGAGAUGCAUCACAUCCACAAAGUGAACAGCUAUAUGGCUUUCUCGAGACUUUGUCAGAGAAGAUGAAAAAGGAGGGUUAUGUACCAGACACUUCCUGUGUUCUUCACAAUGUUAACGAGGACGAAAAGGAAACUAUACUUUGUGGACACAGUGAAAAAUUAGCUAUAGCUUUUGGUAUACUCAAUUCACCUCCUGGAAACCCCAUACGUGUUGCAAAGAACCUUAGAGUAUGCAAUGACUGUCAUGAGGCAACUAAAUAUAUCUCCAAGAUUGUGAGGAGAGAGAUCAUUGUUAGGGAUGUAAGGAGGUUCCAUCACUUCAGUAAUGGAACCUGUUCAUGCAGGGAUUAUUGGUGAUAUAGUAUGUUCUGUAGAUUUAUACAAGUUUUGUUUAUAGAUUCUUUUGAUAUCCAAGCAUAGGUAAAUGCAUCAACUGUAACAUGAUUUGUUGAUUAUAUUGUUGAGAAUAACAUUUUGCAACCUAAAUAGUACUCUUAAUCUUGAACUUUUAGAUGCUGAGUCUUGGUGACAGUUUAGCAAAUAUGGAAAGCUCGUGUUAGACCUAAAAGGUUGUCACUGUUCAGCAAAUUGAGGCUUUUAAGUGCCAAAGUAAAUGCCUUCACUUUCUUUACAUCUUUGCAAGGCAGUAAAAAAAAAGAGAAUUAAACAGACCAUUUGCAUGGCCAAGUUAUUGCCUAAUGCUAUAACAAAAAAUGUAAGACGAGAUUACAGAAAAAUGGAAUUUCUACUGUAACAAAAUUGUCUUUGCCACUCUAGAUAGACAACUCUUCAUAUUUGGAUAGUAUCCAAGCCCGUGUGGGAUAAAUAUGCUCUGGCAUUCCACUAUUACACCUAUAAAAACAGCCUGAGAAGGGCCUUCAUCAAAGAAUGACUUCUAUUGUACAUUAAUCUGCAAACAAGUGUGAUAUUAUGCUGCCUCAACGGCUUCUUCCACCUGUGGCUGGCGCUUAGGUCUACCACAACGCUUUACAUCUUUACUUACCAAAAGCUUCAAGGCUUUUUCCAUCGUUAUGUCAUUGGGCUUUAAUUUCUGUCACCAAAAUCAGUAUAGACAACAUUAAUAUCCACAUCUACAAUUUCUAUCAGCAAAUACCAAAAUUUAUUAGCUAACCCAGCACCAAGAACUUCUCACGGGAAAAAAGAAAGAAACAUUAAAUCAUAACCAUUCACUAACAAACUCUAUUACUUCCCACGAUAUUAUGCACAAAGUUAUAGAAGUCUAAUAAUAUGAAUUGGAAGAAAACGUUAAAGUACUACUCCACGAUAGAUGUUUUUUCAUGCUUCACUGAUGCUGUUGUUGUGUCAUCACUUUCUAUCAUAUCAUUAUGUUUCCAUGAUAAUUUUCUCUAACAAAUACCUAAUAAGUAAAAUUAUUAUUCAGCAGAAGCUAGUAUAUCAAAACACAAUGUUUGAAUAAACAAUUCUUGCACAGAGAGAGAUUGAACCAAACCUUGGGUACUGGAGCAAUUGUUCGCCUAUGUCUGAUUGUAAAUCCAAACUUUGCAAGCUUUAAAACGACCGGCUGACCAUCAUCGGGAUGGUUUCCCUAUAGACAAGACCCAUUCAUCUUUUGUAUGCAUACUAAUAGCUAGUGAUAGAGAAAUUUAAAACUGAAGAUAGAAAUAAUAAAUACAUAGAAAGGAAGUAUGCAUUGCAACAACUAACCAAUGUUAUAGGGUAGCGCAGCAAAUCCAGGGCAUCUUCCAAGGUAACAGAACUGACAUCCUUCACCUAGAUCAUGAAAAAUGCAUUUACAUCACUGAUGAUCUAGCAAAAUAAACUUGUCACUUUUAACUAAAUGAGGAAGGCAAUAAGAGCAGUUAUUAAAAAAAAUAUAUUCCAGGUGUAAUUAUAUCAAAUGCAAACAAAAGCAAAAGGUAAUUCAGUUCACUUCUAAUCAUCAGAAGGGGGAAUAAAAGGCUCCACUCAGCGACUUGGACGAAGUGCAGUAUUUAUUUUCUAUUAUAGUAAUAUAAACGUCGAAAACUGGUAUUUGUACACGUGAAAGAAUCAAGUUCAAUAAAGUGCUUGUCAAAAUACCUGUGAAAGCGAAGCCCGCUUGGGAACGUGUCCUUUCUUGUCUUCUCCAAGUUGUACAUAGUAUCCAUAUGGACCAUUCUUCAAAAGAACCUAAAGAAAAAAGGCAUAAAGGUCUUUACAGCUCUGAGAACAAACAAUUAACUAAAAGGUAGCAAUCAACUCGUAUAACCAAUCAGCUGAUAUAUAAAAGGGUUUUGAAGUGGAAACCUUCUCAUUUGAUGAUGGAUUGACACCCAGCAAUUUCGGCGGCUCUACACUUCUUUUAGUGUCUUCAGAGGUGAUGUCUUCAUCCUCUUCACCAUAUAAUGUCUUGGCAAUAUACCUAACAAUGGAUGUCAAAACUACAUCAGCCAAUGACUUCAAAGCAACGAUAUCAAAAGAGUAGGAAAAAAGUAUAUGACUAUACUUCUUUUCAUUGUUCUGCACUAUCAAGAUAAUAACAGAUAUGUUACAACAGCAGGAGAUAACAGCCACUCUUUUUUUACGUUGUGUAUAUACUACCCAGCUGUGGCAGCUUUUCCUGGUUUUGGCUAACCUUAAAUGGGUUAUGCCAGGAAAGACUUUUGAACUUUUGACAGCUAGGGAUCAAACUGGGAGGAAUGUAAAGCAGACGAAAUGCUGGAAUUCAAUUCUUUUGGCAUUUGGUGGACCAUGUGGAGAAAAGGAAAUAGCAGAUGGUUUUGAGAACAAGAGUAAUCCAAUACAGAAAGUAAAGAUGGACUGUAUUUUGAGCUUGCAUUUUUGGUGUAAAGAAUUUUGCAUAGAGGAUGCUGAUGCCAUCCUAGAUUUUUUGUAAGCUUUGCGAAGUGUACACAGGCUUUCUUCUUUUCUUUGUACCAGUACAAUCUUUUUAUACUGAUGAGUAUAACGUUAUCUUACUAAAAAAAAAUGUUACACUGCUAAGAGGUUCAUAAGUUCAAGUGCUAACAACUUACAAGGUAUGGUAACUGAAGGAAAGAUUUAAUGCUGGAAAGAACAAACUUUAAGUUUAAGCUAAAGAACACUCCUGAUGCUUUAGAAGUAGCAACUCAAAGUGCAAAGGAUAUGGAAGCUAGAACCAGAGAAAGGGGGGAGGUAACUCUUCUUUUUUCCGGAUUGCAUUGCAUGAGAUAACAAUACAAUCUUUAAGGAGUUCACUGAGACUAAAGGUUUAGAAGGAAUCUUCAGUAAUGUGAGGUAGUGGAACUUCAAAGUCUGGUUGAAUUGCUCUAUACACAAAGUUCUUCAAUUGAUAGCCAGGAUUAUUGGGACUCGAGGGCAGGGUGUAGUGAGUUUGUUUUCAGUGAAGUCCUAUUGCAAUAAGCUCUAGACCUAAGAUGAAUCAACAUUUCCACAUCUAUCGACUUGAAUUCCUAGGGCGCCAAGAGAGUGUGUUUCUUUGCUUCGCUGGUAGCAGGGGACCGAUUCUAACAGGUUAAAAUUUGAGUUAAAGGAGAAUCAUAUAUGUCAGUGAGUGUAUGUGCAUGAUUUUUAGAGGGGUUGUGUUUAACUAUAUAGGAGAAGAUAAGAGGUAAUGGCAGCCGGCAGGAGAGAGCUAUUGGGGAGGAGAAGGUAUAUGGGAGACAGUGCGUUGUGCUGGUGAUAAGGCCCCUGGACUGGGCGGUUUUACCUUGGCUUUUAUUCAAACAGUUUGGAGCACAGUAAAAGGAGAUGUGAUGAAACCAUAGCUGCAGAAGAGACAUGAAGGCCUACAGCCCUUUUAGUCUAAUAGGAAAUAUCUGUAAGAUAACCUCAAGGUGCUUUUUAACAGACUAUAAGGUAGUAGACGCGACAGUGUCCGCUUCUCAGAAUGCAUUCGUGAUAGUGAGAUAAAUCUUAGAUGUGACACUGGUGACAAAUGAAGUGUUAGAUUCAAGAAGGAAGAAAGGUGAACUUGGGAGUCAGUGUAAGCUGGAUUCUGACAAGGCCAAUGAUCAUGUGAACUGGGAGUUUCUUGGACUUUGUUAUGAUAAAACUGGGAUCCGGGAUAAGUGGACAAAGUGGAUCAUUUGGUGACAAAUGAAGUGUUAGAUUCAAGAAGGAAGAAAGGUGAACCUGGGAGUCGAUGUAAGCUGAGAAGGCCUAUGAUCAUGUAUGUGAACUAGGAAUUUCUUAGACUUUGUAAUGAUAAAGAUGGGACCCAGGAUAAGUGGACAAACCUGCUUUUACAUUUUUUGAGUAAUGUCUCAGUUGUAGUGAGAUAUCUUCAGAUGGUUCGGGUUACAAAAGAUGAUACACACUGUGAAGGCUGAAGGGUGCACUGUGAAGCGGGACAUACGGAAGAAAUAGGAGAAAUAUAAAGGGAAUGGGAUGUUGUUCCAUUAGCACUCAUGUGUAUUAUAGGGAAAGGAAAGAGAGGAACAAGAAAGCUUUUAAAGGGACAGAAAAUGAUUUCAUAUAAUUGAGGAAUAGUUUCUUCUCCCUUAUUACUUUUUGAAGCACUAUGAGAUUCCAAUUUCUAUAGAAGAUCGGGUGUCUUUCUAGAGAAUCGUCUCGUAGAAGAAUCUCUAACUUUUUGGUAGUGGGUUGCAUAGGGGAGUUUUUCUUCUCAUUAUCAAUUAAGAAAUUGGAACAUCAAAGAAAAGACAAUACAAUGUUUAGAGCAUAUCAAUUACACUAUGUCAUAGUCUUUUUUGAGAAAGAUAACAGGUACACUAUGUCAUAGUCCAAAGACACGUGCAAAUAACUUCCAACUGAUCAUAUCAGAGGACUAAGAACUUCAUUAGUUCACAUAGAAGCUUGACACCAAUGUAGAUUCUUUCCGCACCUAGCUCCAUACAGUAUCUUAGCGCUCACUUUUGUUACUUAAUAAAACAUCUAUUUUUUUUGGAAAAGAUUCUUUCCACAAUUAGUGUACAGUAAUUGCAGACCCACUCUGCAAUUUUGCUACUUUAUUUAACAAGAGGAAGGUAUCUAAACUUUUUGAAACCCACAAUCCUUUUAAAAGCAUGUAAGGGUAAAUAAAAACAUCACAGUUGCAAGUGCAAGAACAGACACCACACCGACAUCUAUGGUAUCACGAGAAAUAAAUCCACAGUAUUUAAAAGAUCCAAAAUCUAUGCUAGCUCGUUACUCACUUGCAUUUUGGGUGUUGGUCACAACCUAUAAAGUAGCCUGCACCAAACCUGCUUACUUUGAAGAUUAAAGUUCCCUGAAGACAGCUUGGGCAUGUCCUGCUUUCAUCAGGAAGAGAUGCAAACAGAAAAUCACCAAACGUUUUCUCCAACAUCUUCUCCACCUGAUGAAUGUGCACAUUACCAGUAUGUUCACAAUACUUGCUAAAUCUAGUCCAGUAAUCUCUCAAAAGGCCUUUCCAUUCAGUCAAACCAGCAGAGACAUUAUCAAGCUCCGUCUCCAUAUCGGCAGUGAAGCUAUAAUCUGUUACUUCAGCAAAGUAAUGAGAGAGAAAUGCUGAUACCAUACGCCCACGAAAUUCAGGAUACAGUGUUCUGCCUUUGGCAGUGACAUAAUUCCUAUCCUUCAACACUUUUAUUGUGGCUGCAUAAGUAGAAGGUCUUCCGAUGCCGAGCUCCUCCAGCUUUUUAACCAAAGACCCCUCAGAGUAUCGUGGUGGAGGAUGAGUGUGGUGUUGCUCAAGUUUCACUUUACCCAAAUACAUUGGAUCCCCAGCAGUUAAAUUCCUAAGGGCCUCAAAUACUUCAGAACGAUCAUCCCUCCCAUUCUCGUUAUCUCUCGUUGAGUUAGUUUCCACAUCCUCAUAGACAGCUUGGUAUCCGGGAAACUGUACUUUUGAGCUUGUAGAACGAAAGAUUAUGGAUUGGUCAGGUUUCCCAAUAUCAACUUGUAUCUGCUCCGUGGUAGUAGGUUCCAUCUGGCAUGCCAUGGUACGGGACCAUAUAAGUUUGUAUAGCUUAAGUGCAUCAUCAUCCAGCACUCCAACAAGCUUUGAGGGUAGCCUUCGGAUAUCAGUGGGUCUAAUAGCUUCAUGGGCCUCUUGAGCAUUCUUCACCUUCUUGAAGUAUUUACGGGCAUUCUUGGAUGCAAAAUUCUGUCCAUACCUUUCGCUGAUAUAGGAUUGAAUAUCCUUGGUAGCUUCAUCUGAAAUGUGCAAUCCAUCUGUUCUGAUGUAAGUUAUCAAUCCUGUUGCCUUGCCAUCAGAUAACUGGAUCCCCUCAUAGAGUUUUUGAGCAAGUUUCAUCGUAUGUGUUGAUGAAAAGUCCAAUUUGUUUGCAGCAUCUUGCUGAAGUGUUGAUGUUAUAUAAGGAGGAGCGGGGUUUCUCUGCUUUUUGGUUAUCUUAGAGCUUAGAACUUCAAAGUUUGAUGCAUUUAUCUUCUGUUCAAUUUCCGCUGCUUCGGUAUGAGAACUAACAGAGAACUGACUUAAUUUCUUGGAAUCAAAAUGGGUUAAGUGGGAUGACAAAAGGUUAUUGGCUAAAUCUAGGUUUCCGCUCUUAAAUUCAACCAAGACUGUCCAAUAUUCCUGUGGUUUGAAUCCAUCAAUUUCCAUUUCUCUGUCACAUAUAAGUGAUAGGGCAGCAGACUGAACCCGACCCGCAGAUUGGCAACCAGGUAAUUUCCUCCAUAGCAGUGGAGAAAUGUUGAAACCAAUCAAGUAAUCAAGAGCACGCCUUGCAAGAUAAGCAUGCACUAAAUUUGCGUCAAUCCCCCUUGGAGACUGGAGGGAAGCUUUGAUGGAUGAUUCAGUAAUUUCAUUGAAAACAACCCUUGCCACAUUAAUAUCAUCACGCAGGGCAUCCUGUUGCUGUAACAUCUCUAUAAUGUGCCAAGAAAUAGCCUCUCCUUCACGAUCAGGAUCUGAUGCAAGAACAAGAUUCUGGGCUCUGAGAAUUAAGGACGAACAGAUAAGAAACUGAGCAUGACAUUGCUUUAAACAGUUCCAACCAAAAAAUAGCCAUUUUAUGAAAAAAUUUGGAAUCCGGUGCAUGUCUUCCAUCUUCUCUAUGUAAUUGUCAAUUUGUUAAACUGAACAUUGAUGAAACUCAGAACUGUUUUUCUUUUUUUCACUAUAAUUAUGAUCAUUUAAUUGUAGAACAAUUAAAAAAUAAAUAUGGAUCACUUAAUAAUCACUAAUCCUCCCCAACGUGUUAGCAACAUGUUAAUAGAUUGCUAAUCAGAAGUUGGACCAACAGAUAACAUACCCAUUUAGCGCAACUUUGAUGCUUUUAAGAUGAGUCCAGGCAGCAGAAGGAACUUCCCAUACCAUGCUGAAGUCAUCAUCUGGUCGGACAGAUCCAGACCUUGCAGCUAAGUCCCUAACAUGACCAUAACUAGGCAGGACUUCAAACAUGUCACCAAGGUACCCUUGAAUGACUUUCGCCUUUGUGACAGACUCUACCACCAGUACAGUCUUUGCUGUGGGAGGAUAUAGUUUUGGCCAAUUUUUUUGUCCCGGGGACUUACUUUUGCUGCUCACAUCUGAACUCUUGUCUGGUACUAACUUACUAUCAGAUGGCAAUACAGAUGCCUCAUUCAGUUCAUCAAAAGAACUGCUCUUCUUAGUGGAUUUUCUUUUCCUGGGAGAGCUUCUUUUCCCGUGGGCCAAGUCAACCUUCAUAGAUACAUUACCAGCAGUCCCUACUGUGGAAGAAUGAACAGGCGAAAUAAUCUGGAAUACUGCAAGGUUAGUGCAGGUAAUUAUGCAGCAAAACACAUCAAAAAUGGCAAUUCCAGAAAUUGAAAAAUUGCAAACCUCUGAUACUGCUGGAGAUUGCUCAUCUUUAGCAGGGCUAGACUUCUUUGCAUGGGGAGUCCUAGAAACUGUUGGCUGAUCUACUGCAUCAGAAGCAACAUUUUUAUUCUUUUUGCUUGAUUGCUUCUUUGCUUUCUCCUUACCCAUGGAUGUUGGCUUUCCAUUAUUAGAUGGACCUGAAAUGUCCAGGUUGACAUCCUUCUCAUCAACCUUAAUCGGGGUGUCAUUUGAAAUGACCAGAUCAAUAUUCUUACUAGCUGACACUUUAGAGUUUGGAGUGACCUUUUCAGGCCCCUUGUCCGACAUAGCAUUUCUUCUAUGAACAGACAAUUCCUUUGACCGCUCUGAGUGGUACUUAAAAUUUUUAAAGAAUGGUUUAUUUCCAUCACUAACAAUUUUUGCUCCAACAGUGCCUUUAUCUGCAAUUGCUCUUGCAUCACGCGAAAAAUGCAUUUUUCCAUUUGUGUUGUAUGGACGCGAACCUAUUACUCCAAAUGGCCUGAAACUGAAAAUGGGCAUUGGUGUAUUGGCAAAUCCCUCUGAUAGAAGAUGGAUACCAAAUGAAGAAGAUCUAGGCUCAUUAGUAUAGCAUCUGAGAGGAUGAAUUUUCUGUAGAGACAAGACUCUUAAAUUCCUUGGUUGCCUCCGACAACAUAUCCUAGCUUUACGAGACAGUUUCUCAAAACUGCCAAUAGUGGCAACCGUCGAACAUUGGAAGCAAUUUGCCUGAUAAUUAUGUAGGGUCUUGUUCUGCAACUUAACAAAAAAAUAUUGGUAAAGUCAAUAACAUAAACAAGACUCAUCAAGUAAUACGACAAAUGAUAAAGCACUCCGAAAUAAUACUAGUACUAUAGCUACUAGCACGGAUAACAAAACAAAGUCCUACCUACAGCAAUGACGCACUCCUUCUAUUAAGUAUCCCACAUCGGAAUAGGGAUGGAUAAUUGGUCUCCUUAUAUGGACUUGGACAAUCCUCCCCUCAUGAGCGCUUAUGAGGGGAGGAUUGUCCAAGUCCAUAUAAGGAAACCAAUUACCCAUCCCUAUUCGAUGUGGGAUACUUAACACUCCCCCACACGCCCAGACCUCGUUAACUGGAGCAUGGACAAUAUAAUAUGGGGCCCCAACAUCGGUGAACAAAGAUUUGGGAUGGGUCUGACUCUGAUACCAUGUGAGAAUUAAUGGAGAAAAAUAUUAUUGAAUUGUGUGUUUACAUAAUUACACCGAGACCCUAUUUAUAGACACUAUAGUACAAUCCUUUUCCAAGUAGGAUUUUUAUAUAUUAUUCCUAUUUCUACUCAUAUUCUAACACCUUCCUACUAACCUUCUACCCUUAUCCACCUCCUCUACACCUCCUAUCUAGGGUCAUGUCCUCGAUAAAUUGGAGUUGCUCCAUGUCGGUUCUAAUCAGCUCCCAUCAAUAUUUCUUCGGUCUACCUCUACUUCGCCUAAAUCCAUCCCUAGCCAACCUCUCACAACUCCGGACUGGGGCAUCCGUGCCCCUCCUCAUCACAUGACCAAACCAUCUCAACCUCGCUUCCCUCAUAUUAUCCUGAAGCCACUCCGCUUUAUCUCAAAUAACCUCAUUUUUAAUCCUAUCUUUCCUAGUACACCCACACAUCCACCGUAGCAUUCUCCGCUUCGCCACCUUUAUCUUUCGGAUGUGAGAUUAUUUAUCUAGAUUAUAUAUAAAAAUGCUUUUAGGAUAAUGUUUUUUUGCUCAUGCGUCGAACACAAGAAAAUAAGUAAGAAAUGACUUAUUUUCCAGGAAAACAUCUUCCUUCAUUCCGAACACACGUUAAAUUUCAACUCAAACCAAACAACUAAAUGAGAAAAAGAUGGAAACUUUUACUUACCGUGAUAGAGCGACAGCUAGUAGAGGCAGUAGUNNNNNNNNNNNNNNNNNNNNNNNNNNNNNNNNNNNNNNNNNNNNNNNNNNNNNNNNNNNNNNNNNNNNNNNNNNNNNNNNNNNNNNNNNNNNNNNNNNNNNNNNNNNNNNNNNNNNNNNNNNNNNNNNNNNNNNNNNNNNNNNNNNNNNNNNNNNNNNNNNNNNNNNNNNNNNNNNNNNNNNNNNNNNNNNNNNNNNNNNNNNNNNNNNNNNNNNNNNNNNNNNNNNNNNNNNNNNNNNNNNNNNNNNNNNNNNNNNNNNNNNNNNNNNNNNNNNNNNNNNNNNNNNNNNNNNNNNNNNNNNNNNNNNNNNNNNNNNNNNNNNNNNNNNNNNNNNNNNNNNNNNNNNNNNNNNNNNNNNNNNNNNNNNNNNNNNNNNNNNNNNNNNNNNNNNNNNNNNNNNNNNNNNNNNNNNNNNNNNNNNNNNNNNNNNNNNNNNNNNNNNNNNNNNNNNNNNNNNNNNNNNNNNNNNNNNNNNNNNNNNNNNNNNNNNNNNNNNNNNNNNNNNNNNNNNNNNNNNNNNNNNNNNNNNNNNNNNNNNNNNNNNNNNNNNNNNNNNNNNNNNNNNNNNNNNNNNNNNNNNNNNNNNNNNNNNNNNNNNNNNNNNNNNNNNNNNNNNNNNNNNNNNNNNNNNNNNNNNNNNNNNNNNNNNNNNNNNNNNNNNNNNNNNNNNNNNNNNNNNNNNNNNNNNNNNNNNNNNNNNNNNNNNNNNNNNNNNNNNNNNNNNNNNNNNNNNNNNNNNNNNNNNNNNNNNNNNNNNNNNNNNNNNNNNNNNNNNNNNNNNNNNNNNNNNNNNNNNNNNNNNNNNNNNNNNNNNNNNNNNNNNNNNNNNNNNNNNNNNNNNNNNNNNNNNNNNNNNNNNNNNNNNNNNNNNNNNNNNNNNNNNNNNNNNNNNNNNNNNNNNNNNNNNNNNNNNNNNNNNNNNNNNNNNNNNNNNNNNNNNNNNNNNNNNNNNNNNNNNNNNNNNNNNNNNNNNNNNNNNNNNNNNNNNNNNNNNNNNNNNNNNNNNNNNNNNNNNNNNNNNNNNNNNNNNNNNNNNNNNNNNNNNNNNNNNNNNNNNNNNNNNNNNNNNNNNNNNNNNNNNNNNNNNNNNNNNNNNNNNNNNNNNNNNNNNNNNNNNNNNNNNNNNNNNNNNNNNNNNNNNNNNNNNNNNNNNNNNNNNNNNNNNNNNNNNNNNNNNNNNNNNNNNNNNNNNNNNNNNNNNNNNNNUGUGUUGUGUGAAGUGGUGAAGGGGUUUUGGGCAAGAAAAGAGGAUGAGAGGGUUUAAACAGGUUGUAGUACUAAGGACAGCGUUAUUUCUAAUUUUCUUUUUUUUUCUUAUUUUCUUGUUGGGUUGUAAUGUUUUUAUUUUUCUAUUUGUAAGCUUAUUACUAUACUAUUAAAAUUCACUUAUUUUAAUAAAAUUGUUACUAUUACUUUUAUUUCUUUAUAGAUCCUACUAAAAACAAAAAGUUUAUUCGAUUAAAGAAAAUGAAUCAUGAAAUAAGUUUCUUCAGAAAAAAAAAAAAAAAAAAAAAAAGCGGAGUGAGAGAAUUUUAAAUAACUUAAAUAAUGUAAUAUACAAAUACUAGUACAAUACUCAAUAGUUAAAAGAAAUAUAUAUUUAGUAACAUCUUAAAUUAUUUAUUUUUUUAUAUUAUUAGGUUUCGUGACAUAUUAGUUAUGCUUAACCUUAAAAAAAAAAUUAAAUGCCAUCAUUUCUUUGUUCGGUGAAAAUUCCUACAUAAGCUUAAUAUAUAUUUCAUAAGCCACACGGCUUAAUUCAAUCAAGAAAAUAAACACAAUUUUCUUGUGUCUAUCACGACAUAUUAGAGAUCACUGUCUGCAAUUUUAGUUUACUAGAAAAUCUACAUAUUUGUUUGCAUCCCUCGAAGAGAGAGUAUUGCAAGUUUGAUGACACAGAAUUACUCUAAUGUCUGGCCCUCAUUUAGUUAAAAAGAGAAGGAAAAAUCUUGCUAACUGCCUUUUUAUCCUUAAACAACUUAAAGUACAUUAUUUUAAUAAUAUUAUGUAAAUGUAUUUGCUGAAAUUCAAAUGAAGAAAUAUGGUCAAUGAGAAUUAAUAUAUUCAAUCCCAAUUUAUAAAAGCUUGAAGCAUAGUUAUUAUUGAUCGUCUUUUGGCCUGCUUUGUUUCCAUUUUUGUCAUAAUAACUCAUAGUUCUUUAUUCCUCAGUAAAUAAAAGUGCAAAACUAUCAUUCAUUUUCAUCAAUGAUUUCUACAGAGAAACUUCCAUUUUUCUUCACUUCCUAUCUUUCCAAAACUAAUGUACAAGGCAUUUUCCACCUGUACACCAUUACUAACUACUUCCUAGCCCCUCCCCAAACCAACCAAAGCCCUCAAAUGUUCUUAACAAUGAGCUGCAAAAGCAUUUGUGAUUGAUAAAGCUUUCUGGAUAGCUGCAAUGGAACCAUAUUCUUGGCGCCGUCUGCUACGGCUACAUGAUUUCUGGCAAUGAUUACUUCAUAUCCUGUUGUUAUUCAUGUUCUAGAACAGAAUCCUGUCUUGGUAAAUGUCCAAUGCCUGUAUAACCUUUUCUAUCAGUAAUUUCCGGUGUAAUCUAUACCUGCCACAAACGGAAGCAUCAUGUAAAUAAGAUCUGCAUUUGCUUUGAAACAAAGACUAAAUGAUCCUGCAUGCAAUGGCGAAUAAUUCACGUAUUACAUACUUUAUUGCUGCUUCAAAUGUUCUCCUGCAUUCGGGCAUCGAAUCUGUUCACAGUAAACCAAGAAAAUGAAUACACUGUUGGACAAACUUUAUGACGUGAAUAAUGACAAUAUAACUAUUGCAAAGUCAACCAAUGAAAUUAAAACACAGUAAACAGUGUCAGCUAGGCUGGAGCAGGAUGCCUACAAGCUUAUAAUUUGUAAUUCGAAGUCAAAGCUUAUGAUGUCAGUCGGUACUCAGAUUGAUGAUUCUGAACUCAAUUUAUCAAAGUAAAUCCACAUCCAAAUUAUCAUCAUUAUCAAUAUUGUUCUUGACCAGGAUAUGCAGGUACCCAUCAUAACACAUACAAAAAUGGACUAAUAUUUCUUCUCCAGCAUGCAUCAUUACAUAGAAGUAUAUAAUCCAGGCUUACCUAGGAUUUUCUGGUCUUCAUCAGAAGUUGUGGGGAACUCUGCAAGCAUCUGGUGGCAUUCUUCUUGCAGUUCCUUCACUGCUUUCCUCUCUAAACUUGGAAUUGGAGGGAGAUCUCCAUCUGACCAAGUAGGCAACGUUCUUGCCGCUGCUAUGAUUGCUCCAUCGACGAACCCAUCUCCAUCAUUUGAUAGCCUACCUGCUACAAGUUUUAAACAAGGAUUCUGGACAUUAAUUACAAAGCUAGAUCAGUGAAGGAGCUAAUAUAUCAAAAAGAUUAUUUAUGACCCAUACUGUUGUGGUAGUAUUCUCCAGGGAGGCCAGAUAUGUUAAAGACUGAUAAGAAGGUGUCUAGAUGAAUUUUGGCAUCGCCGGUGAAAUUAAUAACAUCCCAAGGAUUCUGCAAUAUCAAAUAUAUAUAUUAUGGUCAGCGUCAAUAGAAAAAGAACAAAAAAAAAGAGAGACAAGACACAAGUACACACCCCACCCACCCAACCAACCACCAUAAAAAAAAGUAUAAUUGAAUUUGCUAUGACACACCUAAAUUUUACAAGGGUCCUAUUACCCCCCUAAACUCAUUUUUUUUUUUGUAUUUUUGUGUUCCUUUUUGCUGACGUGGCUGUCAAGAAACCUCAGUGUCAAACCAAAAAAUCAAUAAUCACAUCAAAUUCAUUUCCAUGUUCUGGAGAUAGAUUGCCCUGACAACUACUUAAAAUCAUAACCUUGGUCGGGAUAAUUCUUAAAAGAUGAACUGCAUGUAUAUCUUUUCUCUUUCUUCCACUGAUCCAGUACAAAUAUCAAGAUUUCUUGUAAUAUAUGGAGCAUCAUCGAGCAAUACUAGUUUAAUCAAAACUCAAAGCCUGCUCAAAAUUCCAUGUUUAGAUGCCCAAAUGAAUCUGCUCUUAAUUUACAACAUGCACAUAAAAAGCUGAAGAGAAGGGCAACAACUGGUUUCCCUUACACUCUUGCGUUUAUUGCAUCUUCACUUGUCAGGGCUUAAUGACCCCCUCCAGAAUCUUCAAUAUUUAUGGAUAGUAGACAUUGACUGUCCGUUUAAGGCAACUUCUUGUCAGUCAUUUACUGUCGCAUUCUUGCUUAUAGAAAAAAUUAUGGCAAUAAAUAGCACUACGUAAAACCAGUGGUACUAGGGCCUUUGAGUGGAAUUUCAUACUUAUCACCAAAAAGUACGACACAACUUCUGUUUCUUGGGAAGAGUAAAGAAAAAGACUACAUUACCACAGGUGAUGAGAAACCAUAUCUCUGCAUAAAAAAGUCAUUCUUCUGUCCAGCCAUGUAAUCAACAGUCAUCUGCAAGAAUUCAUAAAGGCCAUGUUAGGGUCAAUGGGUCAUCCUAUCAAGAUAUGCAAAAGUAAUAGAGAAAGCCAGGGCUACAUAUAAUUUUAUAGGUGACGACUGACGGCAUGACAUCGAUCACAGCUAACCUCCAAACCACUCCCCACCCCCCAAAACCUGCCAUACGAAGUCAACUAUUUAGAAAAUGAUAGUCCUUCACAAAAAGUUACACAUCACCAAGAAGCUAAAAAAGGUCAAAUUAGGACAAACAAGAAUCUUAUUAACAAGUUUCCUGUCAAUUCACUAUCCAAAGUAAGAAAUAUUUUUGGAACUUUUCUUUCUCAUUCGUUCCCAAAACAUGAGAACCCUUGAAGUACAACACCAAGAAAUAAAGUUCGACGCAGACAAAAGAGAAUGUUAAGUUAAAAGAUCAUUCAUAAAAGAAAUUGCAGCAAAUGCUUGCCGAAAAGAGAGGACAAAAUAUUUAUUAAGCUUCUAUUCUCAUCAAAAACAAAGCAGCAAAGCUAAUUUAACACUAUAAUCUGAUAAGCUAUCACAUAGAAGGAAACGGAAUGCGUAACAAAGAUCAUAAUAUCAUUUUAGCAUCAUUGCUACUUGUAUCCCAUGCCUGACACCUAUGCAAACCUACCAAUUCAGUGAUCAAUUACACAAGUUUCCCAUAUUUCCUGAGCCCAUGCAUACUAUUUCUUCUUCCAUUUAUAACCUAUACUUUUCCUUUGCCUUGUUCUAUAGAGUGGUGGUUAGACCAACUACGUUGUAUGGGGCAGAGUUUUGGCUAAUCAAAAACUCUCAUUUUCAAAAGGUGCAAAUUGUGAAAAUGAGGAUGUUGACAUAGAUGUUUGGACUUACUAGGAGAGAUAAGAUUAGAAAUGAAAAUAUCUGGGACAAGGUGGGAGUGGCAUCAGUAGAGGACAAGAUGCAGAAGCAAGAUUGAGAUGGUCCGGGAAUAUGAAGAGGAGAUGCUCGGAUGCCCUAGCGUAGAUGUGCGAGAGGUUGGCUAUGGAUGGUUUCAAAACAGGUAGUAGUAGACCAGAGGAGUAAUGGGAAGAGGUGAUUAGACAGGACAUGAUACAGCUUCAGUUUAUCGAGGACAUGACCCUAUGUGUUAUCAAAAGCAAAAUGCACAAAAAAGUUUUAAGAUCAUCUAGGGCUUUAAACACAAAGUGUUGGCUUUAAUUUUAAAACAAAAAAAAGCGCAAAGGGAGAAAAAAUACAAUAUAUAUGUUUAGUCCAAGACUAAGCAUGAAUAACAAAUAUAUGAACAAAGAAAUUGAAAAAAAUUACGAUAAAGUGAAAUAUCAAUUGUUUAGUGUUGCCUCUUCAAAAAGCGUUCAUUGGCAAGGAAAAGUAUGUCUAAGAACCUUGAUGACGACACUAAAGUGCACAUUACGUGAGGCGUUCAACACAUUUUGAGGCUUGCUUUAGGGCUUAAGUGCACCUUUGACAACUCUGAUGACCAUAAAGUAGGAGGCUAUGAAGGACACGGAUUAGGGUAGAAGGCCAAUAGGUAGUGAGCUUUGUCUCACUUACCCUUCAAUUAAUAGUCGUAGUGGCACUCUUGUAGUUUCUUGUUCUUUGAUUUUUGUUACUAUAUGUUGUUUUUCGUACUUCGUUUGCAGUACCUUUUUUGAAUUAAUUCGAUUAGAAUAUUACUUUGUUGUAGCUAUUGCUCCUGAUUUUCUACUCCCUCCAAUCCUUUUUAGUUGUCAUAUAUGCUAAAAAUAGUUGUUCCUAAAUACUUAUCAAUUUUAUAAUAAAAAACAAUAAGGGAUUAUUUUUUUCCAACUUUGCCCUUAGCAUAUUCUAGAAUUAAGAGGCAAGUAAAUAGACAAAGAUUAAAAAAUUAAUAAGGGAUAUAUAAGUCAAAUACGCUCAUAAUUUUUUUUUUCUAAAGGAUUGUGCAAAAUCUUAUCCUGAUUCCUGACAACUAAAAAGGAAUGGAGGGAGUAGAUCGUUUGUCAUGCUAUCUUUAGUUUUUUGCCAUGGCUUCUUCACAUCUGUUAUUUCCUUUCUAGAACUACAUUGAUAUGAUUUUCCUUGAGCCGAGAGUCUAUCGGAAACAACCUCUCUACCUUCCAAGGUAGGGGUGAGGUCUGCGUACACAAUACCCUCCCUAGACCCCACUUGCUGGAUUACACUAGGUAUUGUUGUUAUUGUUGUUGUAGUACUUUUUCUUUUGCUUCUUUUCCUUGGUGAAAGGCAAGGCCUUGCAUGCGGUGAAGUGGAAAGAAAGUCAGUGGCAUCAGACGAGACCAUCCUUAAAUAUGCAAGAUUUUGAUGUCGGAAAUGUCUUUUGGAGCUUAGAUAAGCAAGACUCUGAUGUAAGAAAUGCAUCCUUAAAAUUAAGAUAACUCUAGAUAUUAAAUGUCAUGACCUAUGUUCAGAAAGAAAAUGGAAUACAAAUAUCUGCACCAUAGAAUGUAAGAAAUGCCCUUUUGAGCAGAAAAGGGUAGAAAUAAGCAUGUGACUCAUGCCAUCUUCUCCAAAUGAAUUAUCCAAAAUAAGCAGACUCAUUGGGAAAUCUAGUUGUAUUCCCUAUUUGAUUAGUUGCCCAACUAAUACAAACACAUCAAAAUUCAAAUGGAGCCCUCACUAGAUCUAGAUGGCUAAAAGGAUUUACCUCAUCGCCUUUUUUAAUUCUUUGUCCUGCAUUUAUCAUCACCUCCAGCAUGCGGUCCUUGAAGCGCCAAUGGAAAAAGCAAUUUGGCUGAAAAGAAUGAUUCAUCAUGUCUGGAGGAAGAGAUGAGUAAAGAUUAGAAGGAUUUCUCAUGAAUAAAGCUUGGUUGAGAAUGUUAAGAUUUCUCUCCAUCCACCAAACUUUAAAACACUAACUUUUAAUUGUGUGUUGUCUAAAUAAACCAAUUUAAGCCACAUUUUCACUCUCGAAAUAUUGGAGGACAGAAGUACAACAGAAGAUGCUCACCAGCAUAAGGUACCAACAUAUUUGCAUCUUGAACCAGUGCACCAAUUCUCGUCUGCAAGUUGAUGCAUCGAGAUUGUGCUAUACUCAUUGCCCAAAUAAAUCUCUCAGGAUCCCGAGCAAGACGCUUAAUCUUGAGAGGUACUGCAGAAUGCUAAACAAAUGAAGAAAGUCAAAGGCCAUUGUUAAUGAGCAGGAAUUUGGAGGAAAUAAAUUGAACAAGAUUGUAUGGGAGGAAUUUGGAAGAAAUAGAUUGAACAAGAUUGUAUGUACCCAGUUUUUCUCCCAAAACUCAAGUGCCCGAUGUUGCUGUUCCCUCAUGGUUGAAGCAAGCUUCUCGUCUUGCAACUCCAAAAGAUCCUCCUACAGCACAGAAAGCAUUAAGAAGAAAGAGCGUGCCAGGAACGCAAAACAAGUGUUCAUUAUAACUCUAGAACUGACAUUCUAGAAAUCAGUCCACCAAGUACAUGCCAAAUGCAGCCAUUCCUUGUUUUUGUUUGCAACAGAUCUUUCUGAUCAAAACCAGCCCAGCUGACUAAUGGAAAAUGCAAACCACAGAAGUGAUCAAGCUUCAAGCAUUUAUUGUUUUUCAGUUAGAAAACCCAAAUGGUACUUCAAAUUUAGACUUUUGGUGCAGAAGAAAGUCUCAAUAGACACACACAUUAAAACAACACUCAGUAGACGAAAUUUUUCUAUCAAACAACAGUUUGAAUAUCAUAAAAGCUUUUUUUUUUUCACAUUUCAAGUUACUCAAACUUGAACCUCAGCAGAACAUCAUAACAAAAUGAGGAUUGAUUUUGUGAAUGCACAGCAUUUUCUAUAGAAUCUUCCUCAAAAUAUUACAUUAAUUGAAAGCACCUAAAUUUGGAUAACACUCAUAUCCAGACCUCAGUAGCUAGAAGAAAGCUAGUACAUUCAUCAGCACUAGGCAAGAAGUCUCCAUAAAGCUGCCAAAAGUUGUCCUUGCAAUCAAAAGCAUAUAAAAGAAGACAUGCCAACCUCAAGUCCGAAUCUGUCUGCCAACAAAAGCUGAUCAAUAUUAAAAAAUCACAAGAGAUCUUAGAAUGCCAGACUGAAUUGAAAAAAUCAAAGAACAAACAAAGAAAAAUGCAGAUAAAUAUAUUCCCAUGUGUACGGUGUUGCAUUAGAGAAAAAAGGUAACACUUCUAUUUUUAUUUCUUAACCAGCCAAAGAAAAUGUGGAUAAGUUUUUUCUCAUGUUUACAAUUAGAGAAGAUUUCAAAGGAGAAAAUGCAUCCUUUUACCUCAGGAUUGGUUGAAUUGAUAAUGUCGAAUAUUGGAUGUCCUAAAGGUAUGAUAUCUGGAAAAAACAUCCAAGGAAGCUUUUUGCUUAUUGUUAACAUCAGUUCUAGAGGAAUUUCCAUUAUUACCUGCAUUACAAACAAAACCUCAUCAUUCAUUGACCGGUAAAGAUUUUAAUGAUAACGAAAAGGUGAGAAGAUAAUCAAAGUGAAAAGAGGAAUCAAACAGUCGAGUUAAUGCAAAAUGAAUUAGACACAAUCGAAACUACGUAAGACAUUAUAGAAUACACCACAGCAGGAGAAAAGUUAGAAGUGCCUAGGCACUGACACAUAUAUCUUAAAAGGGCAGCCCAAUGCACUAAAGCUCUUGGGCAGGGUCAGGGGAAGGGCCCGACCACAAGGAUCUAUUGUACACAGCCUUACCUUGCAUUUCUGCAGGAGGCUGUUUCCAAGGCUUGAACUCGUGACCUCCUGGUCACAUGGCAGCAACGUUAGCAACUUUACCAGUUACUCCAAAGCUCCCCUUCACUGACACAUAUACCUUAUGGUGUUAAAAAGCAAAUGAGGGAAAUAAACUUAGGAAACUCAUCCCAGAAAGAAGGAAGGGAGAGUAGAUUAAAGGGCACUACAAUUCUCCCAUGUCCUUUUUUUCCACUUCCUCCAAUUUUCAGGGGCGGAAUGGAUUGGAUGAAGUUCAGCUUUAGGUAUAGCAAAACAUUGAUGGAGCACUGAAUUUGACACUGUGUCCGAUGGUAAAGUUACACAUUCCAUCAGGAGGAGGAAAACGUUCUACACAAAAACAUAGUGUAAGGUAGUGCUCACCCUAGCUCGACGAAGAGGCUCCACGUCUUUGGAAGCAAACACUCCAUACCCAUCUGGCCCCUCCCUGAAUUCAAUUCCGUAGGCUCGAAAACUUCUAACAUAUCCUAUUUUGUAGAAAUCAGGAUCUGCCAGUUCCAACUGUUCAUAUGAAAAUAUUACAUAACCUUCAUCAACAGGAGAAAAUAAGGAUAAUUUGAAAUAAUCAAAAAGAAUAACAAACAGGAAACUAUAUGGUCAUCAGCUUCUCAAAAGAAAAUCAAAGGAUGUAAGACCGAGAAAAGAGAGGGACUCUAACCAUCAGUUUGACUAUGUAACAACAGAGAUGGGAAAUCUAUACAUGCCAAUGUGAAAAUGAAACUGAGCAUUUAACUGAAAAUCUUAAGGCAAUUGGGGAGUAGCUUAAAAUCUUUAUAAACCCUUUGGAUGCCCCUAAAUACCAGAUGUGAGGCAUCCUAUAUAUCCGAAACCCUUCGCCCAAACUUGAAAAGCACACGUGAAUUUGAAUGCAGACUCACGUGUGUGAGAACAGACUUAAUAAUUGGUGAAAAUUUCCGACUUAUUAAACGAAAAUUUAUUCAGUGGGGGAGUAAUACAAUGCCUUUAAAAAGAACAGUUAUCAUGCCCCUAACCUGAUGUAGAACAUUUUAUAUUACUAACAUAGUAAUCACCAAAAAAAUUAUAUGGGACCUGAAAGUAUUCUAUACCUAGACACAAAGAAUUUGUGAAGAAAAACUCAAAUGAGGAACAAAACCAAUUCAAAAGUACGACAAUCUGCCGAUCUUCAAAGUGUAACUCCUAUCUUUUCCAAAUAUCAACUGCCUGGCUAGCACUUCCUUCAAUUUAUUGAGAAACAAGUACUUCAUGUUAUGCGCAGGGUGCACUAAAUCUCCUACUAUGCGUAGGGUUCGGGGAAGGGCCCCACCACAAGGUGUAUUGUACGCAGUCUUACCUUGCAGUUCUGCCAAAGGUUGUUUCCAAGGCUUGAACCUAUGAACUAACUAGUAAAGAAAGAGAAACCAUGUCUAAAAAGGAAAAUGUAUGCAGUGCUAAAACUUAAGGUGUCCAUUCUAGCUGGUUUAGAGGUGAAUUAUGCAGGUAUUAAAUCUUACAUAAGUAUAUCAUGUUUGGUAGUUGGUUAAGAGGUAAGUUAUUCAUAAGUAUAUCAUGUUUGGUAGCUGGUUAAGAGGUAAGUUAUUCAUGUAUAAAAUUAAUAAGGUGUUUGGUUUGCAAUUUAGAAACCCGCAUAACUAACACAUGUAUAAGCUACGCUGGAAUCAUGAUAGAAGGUGGAACAAUUAAUACAUAAAUAACUAAACACGAAAUAAAAUAAUAAUUCCUCAUAACUAAUCCUUGAAUUACUAAUACCUACAUAACGCUAACUAGCUAUCAAACGACCCUUACUGCAGAAAAGCACAUAAAAAUACUGCAGAAAUUAGCACUUAAACAAUGAACUUACCGAAUGAAAACAACACAGAAAGUAAGACGAAGUGGUAACUUCAAGAAGAUGAAAAAAGAGGAAACUUUGGCAAGUAGAAAAUACCUGGGAAGCAGGAGUAUCUUGGGGUUGAGAAGGAGGUGUAAAAAGAGGAAAUGAAGAAGGAGAGGGAGAAGAAUCAUAGGCCUCCAAAGUGGAAGAAGUAGCAGCACCAUUAGCACUUGCACAAACUCUCAAAUGUCUGCUUCUCUUGUUACUAUUACAUACUAAAAUGGGGUGCUUCUGCAAUCCAUGCUGCACACCUCCUCUCCAUAACUGGUUCAAUCAACAAAAUAUCAACACACAAAAAAUUAAAAAAAGAAAAAGAUUCAUUCUUGGAUCAACUCUGGGUGGUGGAAGAAGUUGGUUGGUUGCUGAAUUAGAAUGGUGGAAGAAACCAUUCCUAAAAAUUUAGUGGAAUUUGAGUAUAGAAACUAUUGUUUUAUAUGGAAAUUUGGGUUCUUGAAAACGUUAUCCACUUUACUGUCAGCAAAACAACUGAGAUAGAAUGCUAGGGGUUUUUCCGGGGUUUAUUAGUACUACUUUUUUUCCUAUUUUAUUCCAUACUGCUAAUUAAUUUCUAGGGAAUUUUAUAUACGUAAUUUUUUAUUUACAGUUGAUACCUGAAGUGAGGGGAUAAAAGAAUAGUUGACCGAAUGAGGUUUUAAAAUGUGUUGUCACGGUGGUCCUCAAAAGAAUCGAUGAUGUCGAAACAACACUUCCACUGUGAAAUUGGUGGACGUACAUAUCCAUCAUUAUAUAAAGGAUAAAAUAUUGCACGUACAAAUUUACAUUCACAUUGAUGAAUCAUAUCUUUCAAAUCGUAGUUGUUUUCUAUCACAUCAUUUUGAGCACAGUUUUAUCACAACGUUGCUCUAAGAACCGUGUUCAAUUAACUGACAUGAUCAAAACCAAAAAUUCACUUCUCAAUAAUUAACCCUUCACAGUUUAACAGUAAUAAUUUCAUGAUUUAGUCCCCAAAUUUUUGACGGCAUAAACUCAUUUGGAUAUGAAAUCUCUUUCGUAUUUUUCCUUUACAUUACUAUCAAGAAAUCAUAUGAGGGAUAAUAAAGGAGCUAUCAUCCUCCUGGAUUUGCAAAGAAAAUGGUACUUAUUUAUACUAAUGUAUUGUGCAAAGCAUAGUCGUUCAAAUCAUCUGAAAAGAUCAAAGGAUUUAUACAUCUCAUUCCAACUAAUUUAGGACCAAGACUCAGCUGAUCAACAAAUAUAUCAAUGUUGGACAACAUUCAUUCAUCAGACCAAUAUCUGUUAUGGGGCAACUGCAGUGAUUUUCAGGCCACGCACCGAAAAAUCAAGAACUCAUCCAAUUUUUGCAGAGACCUGACUGAAGAAUUUCGACCAUUUCCACCACCAACUCCACUAUAGUAUCACAUACAAGAUUAUUACCAUAUGACAUGACAUAUUUCUGAGUCUCCAAAAUGAAUGACCAAAUCAUCAACAUCGAAGACGACGAAGGAAACAAUCUGGCUCAACAAGAUCACUAUACACUAUUCACUAGGUAGCUGUAUCCUUUCAGCAGUGUAGGGACCGGAUAACUCUACCACAAGGGUUUAGGCAGAAGGAAGAAACCACCCAACUAUUUUGCCUCUUUUUCAGAUUUGAACCUCAGUCUCCCAUGGACUUUACUCCAACUUCAUCUACUAGGCCAUAUCCUCCAAAGACAAAUAUCUCUACGAAGGAAGAGAAGAAAAACAAAGAGAACUAGAGGUCCUAUAACAAGAAAGCGCCAGUGCUCCAGAAUUAAACUUACUCAUAAAUCACAUAGCUUCAGACAAACAAGUAGUCCUCCUGGUCAAAUUUAUUGUAAAAUUUACCACGUGCAAAAGGAAAUUAAAGUAAGCAACAAAUACGAGUUCAUUAACAACAUCUAGAAGUUCUUAAAACUACAACAGAAACCAAAGGUUAACACAAGUGAUGUCCAUCUAAGUCACAGCUACACCAAGAAGAAUAAACUAAUAAAAACUUCUACCUUAUCUAUGCAAAAUAGGAAAAAUAGAGAAAUCAGCUCUAAACACAUUAAAGAGGUACUGAUGUCAACUUCAACAGAGAGAAGUCCCAUGUAGCUAGAUGACAAAAAUAACCACUGGUGUCUCCAUUUAGUGUGAAAUGAAUGAGCUAAGGACAUAGGGAACUCAAGCCUGCAUCAGAAAUGUGCUUCUGUCCAAAGGUUAAAUUACGUCAAGUGAAGCUGGUUCUCCUAGAAACUUUUUUGCACAGCUAAUGAAACUAAAACCCAAAGAAUGUCCAGUUCAUCUUUUGCUUAAUGUGCAAAUGUUUAAGAACACAGAGAUGCCUGGAAACUAAGAGAGGGCUAUAUAAAAGAGACAAGUCUCAUCAAGUUUCAAGCUUUGUGUACAACGAGCAAGGAGUCAUAAUAAGCAUACUCUUCUACUGGUUCCUGUAAGUAUUUUCAAACCAGCUAUGCAUAUUUCUGUAUUUGCCUCCUCCUUUAAGUGUUGCCCAUUAUUCCCUUUAUCCACAAGAUUCAAAAUUCCGCUCCAUUGUCUUGGUCUUAUGAUUAGAUAAGUUACUACAAUUCAAACUUUUAGAGACAAUGAAGAUUUUUGCAGCAUAUUUAUGCUAUUUUGUGCUUCUGAGUUCUGCUCAAAAUAUCCAGCAUCACCAUACACUUCCAGCCACCAAACAGCCAAUGGUGGUGAGAGAGACAGGUUCUUAUGCAACAAACCUGUUUACAACCUCACAGGCACUUAGAAGUGCAUCUAAUUAACAACUGAACUAAAAACUACAAUUGUGGUGAGGGGACAGGAUACUGAAGGUAUGUAACACAUUCCAAGCUUGAUGGUUAGUCAAACAGACAUGUACAUUUCAAUGGUGAAAGAUAAUAAAACACUUGUAAAGCAUUUUCAAAGAUUAAACCUCUGAUGAUAAAGAAAGUGAAAUUGAACAAAAUAGAGGAGCAAAAACAGUAUGACAUAACUAUCCAUAAUAGGCAUAGAAAAAUAAACAAAGGUAUGCAGAGCAUUAUGCAAGAACAAAAAUAGACAAUAUGACUAUCAGUAAAAAGCUAGUACUGAAAAUGGGCAUUGAAGCUAUAAACAUUAGUUUAUUAGACUAAAAUCUGAUAUUCUCUACAAUAUGACGGAGGAAAUCUGCGCAAAUUUAACUGAUAAUUCAAGAAUGCAAUGCCUAGCAACACAAUUCGACACUGCCAACUUGAGUGAGCUCGUAAUUCAGAAGUGCAAUUACAAUGAUUCAUGCAAAUACUGUAAAAUUGCUCAUUUUUCAGUUCAUUUUAAUCUUCUCCUACAAGAUAGACAGUAGCACCAGUACAACACAAAUAGCAUUAGCCACGAAUAGUCUCACUCAUCAUUAUCCAAAUUAGUUACCUUCUACUCUCUAUUCAAUCCAAUUUGAGAUUAUACCAUCCAACAAAACAACCACUUCCUCAUUUCCCUUAUCACCAUUCUCAACGUCCUUCAAAGCUUCAUUCACCUCUUGAGCCUCCCUAAUCCUAGCCUCCCUCAAAAGACCUCUAUACACCCACAUCCUCACCUCAUCCCCAGCCUUCAACUUCCCAACUACCAUCAUCCUCAAAACCUUCAACCCCUCCACAACCAUAUCACUCUUGCAAAACCCAUUCACCAAAAUAGCACACAACCCAUAAUCCACAACACAAGGGAAAUCAUCUCUUGACACCCAAUGAAAAAUCUUUAAAGCUUUCUUACCCUCCCUUUCCCUAAAAUACAAAGAAACCAACAUUUUACAAAUGGGUAAUAAAAACGAUUGGGUCUUUGGGUUAUACUUAAGGCGGUUAAGGAAGUACAUGGGUUGUGUAAGGUCGGGUUCAAGAGAAAGUCUAUGAAUGAAAAUGGAAAGAGAGAGUGAUUCCAAAGAUGGGUUAGUUAGAAAAGCUGUAGUGAUGAGAUUAGCAGCUUCUUUGAGGUGAUUAGAAGAGCAUAAACGUGGGAUUAGUAGAUUGAUUUGUGUUAACUCUUCUUGAGUUAGAGAAGUUGAUGCAGUUGUGGGUGCUAUUUGGGUAUCAGAAGGAGUAGAAGAAGAAGAUGAUGUGAAAUGCAAAGAACGUGAGAGAAGGGAUGGUGAAGAAAGGAAACGUAGUCUUUGAAUUGACCUCAUGGUUCUUGAUGGAACUGAACUGAUUACAGAUUAUGAUGGAGCAACCAUUAAUGGUGUUAUUGGUGAUAGAAAUACUAGAAACAAUUUCUAGUGGAGAUAAUUUUGAUUAUUUUGAGAAGACUUCUCAUUUCAUUUUACUCGUCUUAAAUUUUUUAUUUUAUAUCUUUUUUUAUUUACAGAAAAGGAUUAAAAAUACCUUUUCAAUAUUAAAAUUAAAUAAAAAAUACCCCUAUUAAAUUAUUGGGUCAAAAAUAUCCUUCAAAUAUUAAAAAUAAUUUAAAAAUACCCUUCCAUCCACCUUUAUAGCUCAAAAACGAUUUUUAAAAAUUAUAAUUAAAAAUUCAAAACAUGGUCAAAAAUACCCUUUAAGUAUUGAAAUUAGUUCAAAAAUAUCAUUCAUCCACCUUUAUGACUUAAAAAUACCCUUACAAUUAACGAUUUUCUUAAAUCAUAAAUAAUUUUUUUAAUAUACGUGGCAACUUUCACUUAGUUGAAACUAAAUUAAUUAAAAUGUUAUAUUCAAUCCGGCCUCAACUCAAGCUUUAAGAUGGGAUGGAUGAUUUUGAGUGGUAUAAGCUUUGUAAUUUAUUUUCUCUAUUUUGAUCAAGAAAGUUAUUUUUCUUAGUUUGAAAUUUAGAAUAAAUAUAUUUUUUAGGAAAAAUAUUUUUCAAAAUUUUUAGUCAAAUGAACAUUUUUUGUUCGCACUGAGCCCACCCUUAAAAGCUUGUAAUGAUUAGGUGAUACUUUUUUCUGGUAGUUCUAGUGUCGACAUAAGAGAUCAUGAUUAAUCAAAGUUUUACAUCAAAAUCUCUUACUUAUUUUUUUUCCACAAAUGACCUUAAAUAAUUAAUUAUCAUUUAACUCGUGUGGAAUUGAUAUAUAUUAUAUUCUUCGUUAUACAAUUUCCUAUUAUUUUAAUUCUCACCUGAAAUAUUAUACCAGUAGAUUGUGAUGAAUCUUUAUAAAGGGAAGAGAAUGUACUCAUUAGUUAUAUUCCCUGCCCCAGAAAAAGUAACAUGCAUCUUUAAGGUUAGAUUUUUACCAUAUUAUAGAACAGUAAUGUCAAAUAAUGAUACUGUAUAUCCUCUAUUUUAAUUUAUUUAUUUUAAUUAUUAUUUACAUAAAAUACUUUAAAUUAAUAAUUAUAUUAUAUAUUUUAAUAGUGCAAUUAUUUUAUGAACAUAAUUUUUAAUAUAUAAAUUUUAUUAUAAAAAAUUAAAAAUUUUAUAUUUAAAUUCACAUUAAAUAUUAAUUAGCUGUAUCAUUAUACUUCGAUAAAAAAAGAAACAAAGGAAUGGAUAAUAGUUACAAGAUUUGACAUUUGCAUGAAAGAGUAAAAUUACUGAAAGUACUGGUAUUUUAUUUACUAUAGAUAUUCUCCAUAAGCAAGAAUUAAAAAAUGCUUUCACAAAGUUUAUAUUGUCUCGUUUUGACGCUAUAUUAAAGCCUAACAUUAUUGACGUUGGGACAACCUUUAUACGUUUUGGAUCGGGUAGCUUGAGUUGGGGUUGGAUUGGAUAUCACAUUUUAAUUAAUUUAGUUUCAACCAAGUGAAAAGUGCCACGUAUUUUUUUUUAUAAAAAUUAUUUAUGAUUUAAGAAAAUCGUUAGUUGCAAGGGUAUUUUUGAGCCAUAAAGGUUGAUAGAUGAUAUUUUUUAACCAAUUUCAAUACUUAAAGGGUAUUUCUGACUCUUUUUUGAAUUUUUAAUUAUGAUUUUUAAAAACCGUUAGUUGCAAGGGUAUUUUUGAGCCUUAAAGGUGGAUGGAGGGGUAGUUUUGAACCAUUUUCAAUACUUGAAGCGCAUUUUUGGCCCAAUAAGUUAACGAAGGGUAUUUUUUAUCUAAUUUCAAUACUUGAAGGGUAUUUCUAACCCUUUUCCAUUUUACUUAUCAAGACAAGACAAUUUUUUUCCAUUAUACCCAUAGUGUAAUUAAUUAUUCCUUAUUAUUAGCAUUCUUAAAAAAUGUUGCAAAGAUAAGUACCAUUAAGAAUACACCAUUAAAAAUAUAAAUAGUGCUUUGGUAUUAGUCAUCUAUCAAUGUUGGAACUAACAACAAGACACAAUUAAGAGAGGCAAAAUGAUAAAAUUACAUUACCAAUCAUUAUUUUCUUAAUAGUUGUGUCGUCCCAAUGUGGGACGGGUAAAGUGGGACGGAGGAAGUAUUAGAUAAAAUAAUGGUGAUCUCUAAAUAUUAAUUGGAAAAAUAAGAUAAUUUUAUUUAAAAAAUGACAUUUAUUCCUUCCCUAUUUGCUUUGCAAUUUUAGUUGGAAAAUACUAAAAUUUAUGCUAUUUUAUCAUCCUAAAAACAAUUAAAGCAAAGGAUACAAUUGAAUGUGUAAUUAAUUUGAUGUACAAACGCUAAUGUUUGAAUUGUCGUGUUAUAAUUUUUCUUCAGUUGUCGAUUGAAGCAACCAUCUAACUUAUGUAUAGAUGGUUCCUAAUACUAUUAAUCAGAGGCUGAAUCAAAAUUUAAAUUAUGUGGUUCUAAAAUUAAAGAAGAGAGGCCUUAUAGUGGUUCAUCUAUCAUUGGGUCAAGCUAUAUUAUUUGUCAAUGAGUUCGCACUAUAUAAAUAUGUACAUAUAUUCAGAAUUUAAUAGUAUAAAUAUAGAAUCUACGUAAAAGUUAUUGAAUUCACCCGAACCCCCUCAAAAUACUGUAGUUCCGCCCCUGCUCCUGAUAUACCUUCUAGGCUAUAAAUAUAAUGUAAUUUCUUUUUUUCUCUAAAAAAUGGAAGAAUCUAUUAUUAGAUUUUACGGUCAUUAAUUUUGCAAUGAGAAGUACGAGACACCGUGAAGCUAGUGUUACUCUCUAAAACAUUUUCUAGCUCACCAAUAUGUUGUCUUUCAACUUAGCAAAAUAGCUUAGGAUACAGAUUUUGUAAAUAUAUUUUGAAUUUUAAUUGCUAUUGAUAAACUAUGUAUACAAUUUUCUUUAAUUAUUCUAAACAUUUUUUUUCGGCCAUUGUCUUACUAUUCAAUGUCAUUAAUAUAUUACUAGUUUAGUGUACGUGCGUUGCACGUGUAUCAAAUGUUUAAUAAUAAUAUUAUAUAAAAACAUUGCUAAAAAAUCACUAAAGAUAAAAAUUAGAUUUAAAUAGUUUACCUGGUUAUUUAUUCUAGAGACGUAGUUGAAGGUAGAUGAUCGGGAUCCGGAUUGAAAGUUAAGUCAACCCUGACUCGAAAUGCUAAACCUAGGAUCCAACCUUAAGUCGAGACCCGACUCUAAACCCUGAUUCGAGCCCUGAAUCCUAGCAUUUGACCUCGACUUGGUACUGUGGUCUUGACCCAACCCAACCUCGAUUCAAGAACAACUUUCGAUAUUAACUUGGGAUCCAACCACAAAAAAAAGCAAGAUCCGAUCUUGACCAGACUCCGGACCCUGGGUCUGACACUAAUCUUGACCUCGAUCUACGACCUAACUCUCAAUUAUCAACCCAUACUCACGGUCCAACCUCAAUCAAGAGUCAGGGUUAGGCAUUGAGUCGGGUGUCGAGGUUGGUCUUAUAUUAAGAGUCGAAUCUUAAAUUAGGAAUCGGGGUUGAGUUCCAACUUAGGAGUCAAAGUCGUAUAAUAUGUUGAGAGUUGAGGCUAGGUUUAUUUUGGAAUUAGGAGUUAGAUUCGGGUCACAAAUCGAGGGUCGGAGUUCGGUCCCUCAUCGGGAUUGAGGUUGGGGUCUUACGACCUAGGUUGGGAGUUGGAUCCCAAGUCGGGUGCAAAGUCGAGUCAAGUCUAGUGUCAGGAGUCGGCUCUCAAGAGACGAAGUUGGGAGUCUAGAGUCGAGGUUGAGUUCUGUAUCAAGAGUCAGAUUAGAAAUCUAGAGUCGGGGUCGUGUCCCAAGUUGAGAAUUGGGUCAGAGUUGGUUCUCGAGUUUGGAGUCAGGGUUAGGUCAGAGUUGAGAGUUGUGGUCAAAUCUUGGGAUUAUACGUGUUAGGUCCAACGUUAGGGUCAGGUCUAAGUUUGGGAGUCAAAGUCGAGUCCAGAUUGAGAGUUAAGGAAAUAGAGCCCGGGUCGAUAGUCAAAUCAUGAGUUGGUACCGAGAUCAGGUUUGAAAGUCGAGUCCUGGGUUGAGGUCAGAUCUUGAAUCUCAGGUCUAGGGUCGGGAGUCAGAUCUUUGAUUGGGUCGAGAGUCAAGUCUUGAGUUUAGGACUUGUAUCUCGGGUUGCGAUGGAGAGUCGAUUCUCGUGUUGGUUCAGGUAGUCGAGGGCUCAGGUUGGGUCCCGUAUCAUUAGUAUUUUUUCGUGUUAUACCUAAAUGUUCUUGGGACGAUAAAUUUUUCUUACUAACCAAAAAACAAAAAAUAAGUAAGAAAAUCAUUUAUUUUUCAAGAAAAUAUUUUUUAGAAAAAUAUUUUCCUUUGUACCAAACACACCCUAGGAAUAGAUCUAGGUUCUCUUAAAAAUUAUUCACUUUGUGUCUCCGACAAAUAGCUUUCAUUAUAUUUAAAUUUAUAUAAAUAUUUUUUAAAAUUAUAUCCGUAUUGAUAUGGGAUAAAAUAAAGGCUUUUUGUACAAAUAUUAUAUUAAAAUAUUGAAUUAAAGCUAUUAAAUAAAAAAAUAUAUUCCACACAUGAGUGUUGAUUCUAUAUACUUAAUUCAAUAAAAUAACCAAUUGCGUCCUAAAAAUUCUCAAUAUAUUAAACUAAAAUUUAUUUUAAUUUUAUAAUUCUAUCAUUUUAAACACACAAGUCAUCAUAUGCUUUUCUCAAUUAAUCAAUUUCAAGAUUUAGAUAUUAAAUAUUCCCUUGCAAUGCUUGUGUUGAGAGCAUAAUGCUAUAUCUUUAAUAUGUGAGGUACUAUAUUAUUUUUCCUUUCAUAUGAUUCGGAGUAUUAUCAUGAUGCACUCUCAAUCCAACAUAGGAAACUAAUGUUCCAUCAUCCUUAAGAAUUGUGCAUUCUACCUGAUCAAACAUCAUCAACUAAUAUGAGAAUUUUUACUUUUUAAGUGAAAAUUAAAAGUUUUAGCUCUUCAUUAAUAUAAAUAAAUUUUAAAAAAAAUUAAUUUAAAAGACUCUUUUCAAUUUUGAUAUUCAAACCAAGAAUACAAUCCUCUUGACGGAAGUUACAGUUGGUGGCAGCAAGAGCAUUUAUGGUGGAAAUUAUAUUUACUUUGUGAAACUUUACUCUAUAUCUUUUUCUUAUAGUCCGACUCAUUUAUCUUGACUACCUUGUUUAAUGAUUUGCAAAAUGUUGUAAUACAUUCCUGUAACAACGUAUAAUGGUUAUAAAAUCUUAAUCAGUUAGAUGAUUGCAUCUUCUGUUGCUUUAUGUCAAUUCGAACAAGUACUUAUGAAGUUGGAUUUUGUUAUAAAGUUGAGUGUUUCCUUGGGCUUUGUUUCAAAUUUCUCAAUCAAUGUGAUAAUAACAAUGAGAGUUGUAUGAAAAGCUGUAUUGAAUACUAUUGCACUAUAGGGAAAACUUAAGAAAAGCAUUAAUUUGCUCUAAGAAAUCAUGGCGACAAAGAAAGUGUUGUUCAUGAUAGAUGAUAUUAGUUUUAACAUAAAUACUUAUUUAAUGAAUCUAACAAAAUUAUACAUAUAAAUAAUUAAAAUUUAGUUCACUAAAUAUAACUUAAGAAUAUUAAAACAAGAUAAUUAUGAAGCAAAAUUAUGCAUAGCUCUCUCGACACAGUUCCUUGAAAAUUGUCAUAAAAAACACGAUUCACAUCAGAGUAUGUGUCAUCCACUUUUGAUUCCCUCACUACCAACUCAUAUCUUUGUUGUCUGGGAUCCCCCACUUGAGUCACAGAAUUAGCAUAAGCAAUGAAACCAAAUGUACUAGUAGAGUCCAACAAUAUUAGUGCUUCGUGUUCACUGUAUAAUCGAUCAGAGCCUUGAACUUGGAACUUAUUACAUAAUCAUUGUUCGUGUUCACUGUAUAAUCGUAGAAUAUGAAAACUUUUGUAAGGAUUCAAAAUGUUUGAAGCAUAUAAAAGUUUAUGGGAAACUUAUUUAUAAUCUUUAUAUUACAUAAGUUUAUAACAUGAAAAUCAUUGAAACUCUUGGAGAGUUUUCAAGAGCAAUAGAUUAUUUGCUGAAAUGAGAAAUAUAACAAUUUGAAUUGGUUAUGAAGUACCAUAUCUUAGUGCAAUUGGUGCACUCAUGUAUCUUGCAAUUACUAUAAGGCUUGAUAUAGCCUUUUCAGUUAAUUUGUUAGCAAGAUUGUAAUCCCGAUCUUAUUGGCCAUGCUAAUAUUGGGUACUUGUCUGAACCGUAUAAAUCUCGAUCUCAAAUAUGCAAUGUGUUCACAUGUGGGGAUAUGUAACACCCCGUAUUCAAAUACAUAUAUUGGCGUAUUCAAGUACGUGUAUUGGUCUUAUUUAUAUGGAAUUAAUUUUGUUUAAUUUUAUUUAUACCGGAAUUUGCCCGUCGAUGGUUCCAUAUGAAGGUUAUUGAAUAAGCUUUCCAACGAUAUAAAGAUUUCCAAAAACGGAUAGGUUUCGGAUAUAAUCGAGCACGUUCUAAACUAUAAAACGGUGGCCGGGAAAUUACGUGCAUUAGUCAUUGUUAUAUGUGUUGGGGUAUAUGUAUUGAUCCUAAGUUAGGUAUAUAUGAGUUUAAGUAUGAGUAUUGAUUAUUUUGAGAUGGUUUCAAGUGUAUAGUUUGAUUAUAGGUGUAUAGGAAUCGACUUUAUUUAUAUCGGAAUUUUCCCGUCGAUGGUUCCAUACGAAGGUUAUUGAAUAAGCUUUCCAACGAUAUAAAGAUUUCCAAAAACGGAUAAGUUUCGGAUAUAAGCGAGCUCGUUCGAAACUUUAAAACGGUGGCCGGGAUGUGAACAGUAAAAUGUGCAGGAAACUACUGAGGCCUGCCAGUUUUUUGGGUCAACUUUGAACGAUCAUAACUCCCUCAAUAUAAUGAACUGGUUGAGCUACCAUAUAUCAAAAGAAAGAUCUUUGAGUCUUCUUUCCAAUGAAAUUGGUUUCAUCCAAAUCCAACAUCUGAGUAAGGAGUUAUACUCGUUUUACUUCAGCCUCUCAAAACAGAUUUUUAGGGUCAACUUCAAACGAUCAUAACUACUUGUACAGGACGAACUGGGUGGAUUAAUUUAUAUUAAAUGAAAUACCUUUGAAUUAUCUUUCUAACGAUACCAAUUUCACCCAAAUCCGAUAUCGGAGCAAAGAGUUAUGGCCGAUUUACUUUAGCCUAUCAAAACAGUCCACCAUGGACAGAUUCGGAUUUACUUAAAUUUUUAAGGGCAAUAUGGUCAUUUUCCAUCACCUCAUGGACGAAAAUUGGUCAUUAUAUACAUAUACUUAGCCUUAUAUCCACCAUUUAUCAUCCAAAUCAUUGAAGAAUAAGAAACCCUAGCCUAAGUUCAACUCCAAUUAUCUUGUGAUUCAACCGUAGAAAAUCCAAAUUGAUUCCGUAGUUGUGUUCACCGUCUCAAGGGCUUCGAGAAGCACCCCUUAUUUGUGCCAACAGGACUUCGAAAUCAAAAGGGCCAUUUUUUUGGUAAGGAUGUAAAUUAUGUUGGUGUUAUUUAUAUGGAUAUGUAUAUAUAUAUAUAUGCAUGUGAGCAUAAGAAGUAUGUUAUUUGAUUGUUGUUGAAAGAUGAUUGGAAAUGAUGUUGGAUUAUUCUUGUGCAUGGUUGGAUUAUGUUAAAUUGUGAAGGAAUUUGGGGUGAUGAUGUGGUAUUGAUGAUGUGGUAUUGAAAUGAUGAUUAUAUAUAUAUACACACAUAAACCUAUUGUUCAAGUUGGUUUUUGGAAUGUUUUGCAAAUAUUGGUAGUAUGGAAUUAUGGAAGAGAAUUGUGGUGUUGGGUUGCUAAUACUAGAUGCCAAACAUUUCAUUGUAGAUAAGUGAUUUGUAAAGGCGGGAAGUUGUGUUGAAUUGGUAUCUGAAUCUACAACGAGGUAUGUAAAGCAUACUCUAACAAUGUUCUUUGGCAUGAAAACACCAAUGUUCCAUCAAGUAAGAUUCCGAGGUUGUCCAAAAACAUGUAUUGUUCUACGUUACCAACGAAGUUGUUUCCAUUCUAUAAAGUGUCAAAAUGUUUCAUUGAUAUACCAAAAGGCUCUUAUUUCAUUGUUGUGAUAUUGAUGAUUCUGAAACACAUUGUUGAUGUACCAAUGAGUCUUUAUUACAUCGUUAUUGUAUAGAAGGUCUAUUACUUGGUUCCUAUUGAUGUAUCAUUGUUUCAAAGUAUCAAAAAUGUGGUGGCGACCGAAAUAACAAUCUCAAAGAUUAAUUGAACUAAGUGAUGGGAGUUCUCUCUUAUCGGGUGGUAUCCCAGGGGCAUAAGCCUAGCAUGGGUCGAUCCCUAUUUCAUGUGUUUAUGGGUGGUAUCCCAGGGGCAUAAGCCUAGCAUGGGUCGAUCCCAGUUGAUAUGUACUGGAGGCAUCCUAAUGGUCACAGUACAGUACAGUAAUGAUUACAAAGACGAUAAGAACGAAGGUAAAGUGAUUGAAUAAAUACAAUGUACAGGUUGUCACAAGUUCUAGUAAGUGUGGUCCACUCCUAUUACGACUUAUUCACUUGUUUCUGAUUUCUAUUGAGCUCCUAUAUCAUAUGUGAUUAUUUACAGCUUUACAUACUCAGUACAUAUUUCGUACUGACGUCCCUCACGGGGGACCUGCAUUUCAUGCUGCAGGCACAGGUGCUUCAGCUCAUUCACAGCAUACAUAGGAGCCAGGUCAUACAGCUCUUGUUGGUGAGCUCCAGUUUGCUUCGGAGCUUUCCGAGUCGGUCCUUUAUGUUUUGUUAUUGUACAGGAGUCAUGUGUGGGCGGGGGGUUUGUCCCGACCCUAGUUAUGUCAUGUAUAUCCUAGAGGCUUUGUAGACAUAAGGAAGGGUAAAGUCAUGGAAGUUUAUAUAGUGAUGUUAUAUUUGUAUAUGUGGUGGCCCCGACGGCCAAGUAUUAUAUAUAUAUAUAUUUGUGCGUGUUGUGCUGAUACAGGUAAUUAGACCCUUCUAUAUGCAACGAAGUGCUGUCCAAAUUUUUGGUGACAUGUAAGUGAAAGUACAGGUAUUUGAACGGGUUCUCCCGGGCCUUCUCGGUUUCGGGUGUCAGUCCGGCCCGAUGGGAUUUUGGGGCGUGACAGGAUACUGUCAUAUCUUGGAGAUAUACAAAGCAGUCUAUCUAUCCACUUCAAUGAACCAUUCUGAGAUAAUAGAAUGUGUAUGACUGAGAUCCAUGAUACAUCUCAUUCGAGAAUAAUAUCGCUUGAAAUAUGACAAAGUAUCCACGAUUUUAUACGAAAAUAAUCCAGCAUGCAUAACACAACUUAAAAGAGGAUUCAUAAAAGGAGAUAGAACGAAGCACACUUCAUCAAAGUCUUUCUAUACACAUGAGUUACAAAAGAAUGGUGAUAUUAACGUGCAACAGAUUCAUUCGAGUGACAAUAUCACUGAUUUAUUCACCAAGUCUCUUUCAACUGCAACUUUCAAGAAGAUGGUGCACAAGAUCGGAAUGCAAAGAUUCAAGGAUGUUCUCAUUAGGGAGAGUUAAUACGCGUUGUAAUCUUUUUUCCUUACGAGGUUUUGUCCCACAGAGUUUUCCUUGUAAGGUUUUUAAUGAGGCAACCUAUAUGUGUAUGAUUAGAGAUGUGUACUCUUUUUCCUUCACUAAAUUUUUUUUCCUACUAAAUUUUUUCUAAUAUGAUUUUAACGAGGCACAUUAUCUUUUUUUUUUCUACUGGUUUUUUUCUAGUAAGGUUUUAACAAGGCACAUUAUCUAUCAAUUAGACAUUCAGGAGGGAGUGUUAUAAAUGUAUUUACAUUAUAAUGAAUGUCUAUCAAGAUCUAAAUGAUAUCUAUUAGGAUUUGAAGCAUUUGUCUUUUACUCACACUAGGAGUAACUUUUCCUUAUAAAUAGAAGGGCUCCUUCAUUGUAAAUUAAUCCCGCAAGAAUCCCUCAACAGAAAUAACAAUUACUCUCUAUAUUCUCUUUAUUCUUAGUUAUUUCAUAACACUUUGUGAUUUCAACUUCACUUAAAAUAAUAAUGAAUUGUGAAAUGCAUUUUUAAAAAUUAUCUAAAAAUAAUUUAAAAAAAAAAAAGAAAAGAAAAAAGUUCUCAUUUUUAGAAGAAAUAUUUUAGAACUUUAAACUAAACAACUCAAACUUUAUAUUAAUAAAUAAAGUUUUAACAACAAUAUCCAAAGUUAUGCAUUGCAAAUAAAUGACUAAUAUCUUAUUAACUAAAACUAAUAUUUACUUUUAUUAAUAAACAUAUUAAUAUGUGAAGUUAAAUGUUAUGUAUUUUUUAAAAAUACUAUACCAAAUAGUAUUUUUGUAUGUAUGUCUAUAUAUACAAGAUUCGUAUUAAAAUUUUACUUUAUGCCACUAAUUUUAUUGAGAUGAGAAGCCUAGCCUUUGCCUAAGUAAUUAUUACAAUUUGCAUAAAGCUAUGUGAAUGUGUUAUUUAUUAACCCGUAUCUCAUACAUAGCCACUUAUUGUGGUAUGGAGGUGCAUUAUCAUAACUGGUUUCGGCUCAUACAUAACAAUUAUCACUUGAUUCCUCUUUAUUAAAGAAGUAUCAUAACUGGUUUCGGCUCAUACAUAACAAUUAUCACUUGAUUCCUCUUUAUUAAAGAAGAAAGGAAGAGGACUUAUACACUCCAUAGGCGCCUCAAGUGAAGGGCAUUGAAGACAUUUUGCACUCUAAAGCUACACUCAAGAAGUGCUUUUUGGGAAUUUCAGACAAGAAAGUAGGAGAACUUAUACACUCCAUACACCUGAAGUGAAGGGCAUUGAAAACAUUUUGCAUAGCUACACUCAAGAGGCGUUUGGGAGUUUCAUUAAGGACAAUUAAGUCUUAUGUAAUAGUAUAAAUACAUAUUUUAACUCUUAUUUUCUUUAGUUUUGAGAUAAUGAAUUGAGUGACUUUUUAGAUUGUAAUUUUAGUGAUAGAUUGCAGUCUUCCUCUUCUCCUUAAGAGAGAGGGAAACCGAAAUUGAAUAUUGAAUAAGGAGAAGGAAAAUCGAAAUUGAAUAUUGAAUGCAAUUGAAAAAGGAUUUAACUUGUAUUGAAUAUUUGGUAAGAAAGGUGUGCUUGAGGAAGUGUGAGUCCUUUGGGUCACCUAAGAGAGUAGUUUGAUCUUACAUUGGUGAUGUGUGUUUGAAGGUUUGAUACACCUUCUAGUGCUAUUCAUUAGUAGAAGUGAGGGUCUCUACUAUCUUUACUUUAUGCAUCUCUUCUUCAUCUCUUUUCUUCUAUGUGUGUUGUUUUUCCUUUCGUGUGUUUGCUGAUUUUUGCCUUCUCUUUGUCUGCUCACUGUUCAGCAUAUUCUCUUUGUUGUAUUCAUUCAAACUUCUCUUUGUCAAUCAGUUUUAGUAUUUUACACAUUGAUAGGAAAGCUUCCUCAAACAUGAGAUCUCUUACUCUUGUCUCAUCUUUCAGAAACAAUUGGCGUCUGCUGUUGUUCCGAGUGUCAAAAGAAAAAAGUAGUUUAAGUUCUUGAUACUGGUCCCUGCUGAUGGAUAUACUUAACCUGUUGUCUAACUUAUUAGUACAACUUUUUAUGCAUGAUUUUUGCAUUCACAUCAUAAACAUUUGUGGAUGGCUUCUGGCUACAUGGAUUCUACUCUUAUGAGAUCAAUUCAAUUAAAUUUUGAUUUUAUAUACAUUUAUCAUUUGAUAGGAUGCCUUUGCCUUCAUGUUUAUACCCCACACUCUUAGCGAAGACCUACAUUUUGUCUUGACAGGGAUGGUGCUAGCUAACGUGAGAGGGAUCUACGUUAUACAAAAUACUUCGGUCUGAUAUAUGUGGACUUCAAGAAUGGGCUAAACCGACAUCUGAAAUCUUCUACUUACUGGUUCAUGAGAUUCUUGAAAGGUGGACAAGUUAAACAUGUUUAACUAACUUCUGGUGUUAUGGAGUCGGCAGCUUAUAUAUGUAUUUGCCUUUCUUUAUACUACUUUUGAGGCUUUUAUAUAAACAACUUCAUUGUUUUAUGAUGGUGUGCAUCAUGACUUCUCUUGUUUUGCUUCAGUUGAGUUGUCCAAUUUCAAUGUAAAACGACUAUUUCCUGUUCUUCUUCACAUGAAUAACACCUACACCACAGAUUAAUGAAGAUAAUAAUAAUAAUUAACUAAUAGUAGUAGAAGUUUUUAUAGUAAUAGUAGUACAUAAUAUGUGUAGCAGUAGAAAUAACAAUACCAAUAAAUACCGAAAUCUUAAUCUUCUCUUAAGCCACCACAAGGGGAUUUAAAAAAACAUAAGCUUAAUGUAUUCUAAGGGCCUCCAGAUGAGUACCUCCGCCAGAAAAUGAAAGCAUUUAUUGAAGCACCAAGAGAAAAGAGCAAACAAAUAUCAAAGAUCUACCUAAGGAAUAAAUCCAGUUCUCCAGCUACGUAGAAAAGAAAUAAGGUUACUUAUGCUCCUGUAUUUCAUGAUGAAAUUUUGAAGAUGAAUUUCACUUGACAGAUUGAUCAUAGUUUCUUCUUUCAUAUCUGGAAUAAAUUAUUUUUCACACAUAAUGAACAUGAACAAUAUAAAGGAAAUUUCAACUUCUCAAUCAUAAAUUAAAUAAAAUGUCAUGCUAACGAUAGAAAGUAAUUUUUCAUAGAUAGUAAAUUACGAUUCAAAUGAGUUAGUGAUGAAUUUUCCUAUUGAAAAAAGCAAAAGAGUAAUGAUAAAGUGUAGAGUCCAUAUAAAAUAUUUUUUCAUCUAAUUAUAAAAAGAAAUUCGACUUACAAGAUAUUAAGUACUAAACAGAAAUAUAAUUCACAUAUAUGCUCAGUUACAUCCUAUGUUCACAGAUUAUAGUCAUGUUUCCAAAUGAGAGCUUGCUUUGCGACCGUUGGGAAGAACUUUUCCAGAGAGAAUAGCAUUAGAUUUGCCCCUAAUUUAGUUUAUCAUGCUGCUUAGGACUUUUGCUAAAUAACAUAACAAACUCCCAAUGAAUCCCUUUCUUGAAGCAUAAAAGGGAUAAUAGUCCGAAAAAUACUUAUAUUUUGCUUAAAUUUGCAGUUGCGCAUACUGAACUUAUUUUAAAAAUGAAAUUAUUUGCUCCCCAGAUACUGAGGUGGCAACGUGAAUGCACACUCUCUUUGAGAGACUGAAAACGAAAAUUAUAUAUUAAAACUUUAUUUUUAAUAUUUUUAUACAUAAAUAUAUAUAAUUUCAAUUUAUUUUUUUUUAUUCAGUUUCUUUCUUCUUCUUUUCUCUCACAAAACUAAAAAGCUUCAAAAUUCAUCAAUGUUGUCUAAAAUUAAUCUCACAUCUUCUUCAUCGCCAACGAAUCUCAUCAAUUUCAUUUUCUUUUUUCUUUCAACAUAACACAUUUGCCAUGCUAGCUUUUGAUUAUUUUUUAUUUUAAUUUUCUUUUUCCUAUUCAUCAAUGUUCAAAUUAACAUUUUUAUGCUUUCAUGGCUUUACCUCAAAUCCAGCCUAUAACUUGCAAGCCCCAUUUAAAUUCUAGUAAUUUCUUAGUAAUCCCUCAAUCUAAUCAACCUAAUGUGUUUUCCUUCUAAAAAAUUUUGACCAAAAAAUGACAAGAAAAUAACAACUACUACUCACUCCAAAUACCAAAAAGCCCAAUUUCUACUCGGCAUUGUAUCAAACAUUUGUUGAGCAUAAUCUAACAUUCAUUUCUUCCAGAUAUUUUUCGAACUAUUAUCCCAAAGAUAAACGAAUACAAUUUCUACUGUAUAAGAAACUUACGAGGUAAGUACACAGUACAUGAUCUAUCAAAAAGCAACCUCGAACUGGAAAAAAAAUGUAAAGAAUCUGAGGAACAUCCUUCUCAGAAUAUUUUUGCUUCUCACUUCAAUCAAUUGGUAAUGAUUUUUCACACACGUCUAAAGAGUGUUCAAAACAAAACAAAUCAACCUAAAUACAUCUUACAAAUAGAUCAAAAAUGAUCUUUUCUUUUACUUGCGGUGUAUUUGCUAUCUGAAGGAACCACAUUCCCUUUUCUCCUCCUUUUGCUUUUUUCUAGGUCUGCUCCUGUCAGAUAUGCAAACCUGCACAGUACGGUGAAAUGAAAGUGGGUUGAUCAUAAGAUAGUAACAGAAGAAAGAGAAGAAAAUCCCAUGAUCAUAGGAUAAAAACAAAAAGAAUAUAAGCUUAUUUUAAGCACGAUUAGUUUGGAGCCCUGGGAUUACACCUUCACCCUUCCCUUCGCGAGUAGUGGUCAAUUUAGUCCAGGCCCGCCUCCCCUCACCUAGCCCGGACCCGGGACCACGCUCAGGUCCGAGACCGCCCCAGACCCGAGACCAGGCCCAGGUCCAGGCCCCCCUCCCCCCCGCAGGACCACGCCCAAGUCCGGACCCCCACCCCCUNNNNNNNNNNNNNNNNNNNNNNNNNNNNNNNNNNNNNNNNNNNNNNNNNNNNNNNNNNNNNNNNNNNNNNNNNNNNNNNNNNNNNNNNNNNNNNNNNNNNNNNNNNNNNNNNNNNNNNNNNNNNNNNNNNNNNNNNNNNNNNNNNNNNNNNNNNNNNNNNNNNNNNNNNNNNNNNNNNNNNNNNNNNNNNNNNNNNNNNNNNNNNNNNNNNNNNNNNNNNNNNNNNNNNNNNNNNNNNNNNNNNNNNNNNNNNNNNNNNNNNNNNNNNNNNNNNNNNNNNNNNNNNNNNNNNNNNNNNNNNNNNNNNNNNNNNNNNNNNNNNNNNNNNNNNNNNNNNNNNNNNNNNNNNNNNNNNNNNNNNNNNNNNNNNNNNNNNNNNNNNNNNNNNNNNNNNNNNNNNNNNNNNNNNNNNNNNNNNNNNNNNNNNNNNNNNNNNNNNNNNNNNNNNNNNNNNNNNNNNNNNNNNNNNNNNNNNNNNNNNNNNNNNNNNNNNNNNNNNNNNNNNNNNNNNNNNNNNNNNNNNNNNNNNNNNNNNNNNNNNNNNNNNNNNNNNNNNNNNNNNNNNNNNNNNNNNNNNNNNNNNNNNNNNNNNNNNNNNNNNNNNNNNNNNNNNNNNNNNNNNNNNNNNNNNNNNNNNNNNNNNNNNNNNNNNNNNNNNNNNNNNNNNNNNNNNNNNNNNNNNNNNNNNNNNNNNNNNNNNNNNNNNNNNNNNNNNNNNNNNNNNNNNNNNNNNNNNNNNNNNNNNNNNNNNNNNNNNNNNNNNNNNNNNNNNNNNNNNNNNNNNNNNNNNNNNNNNNNNNNNNNNNNNNNNNNNNNNNNNNNNNNNNNNNNNNNNNNNNNNNNNNNNNNNNNNNNNNNNNNNNNNNNNNNNNNNNNNNNGUCCUCCUCCCCGGUUUGGACCCGGGACCACGCCGAGCUCAAGGCCUCUCACCCCACCCCCACCCACCCACUCACCCUGCUAAGUAUUAGAGAACUAAUAUAAAAAUAUAAGAGUCUCACCUGCAUUAAUUUAACUGCAAAACUGGAUUUAGCUCCAUCAAUGCUUUCAAAUAAAGAUCCUAAAGAACAUAAUAGAUGAGAAGAAAAAUCAGAAACGCAUUGAAGCAUGUGAGGUAUUGAAAACUACAAGGAAGUCUAAGAAAAGAAGUCAGGAGAUUUGAUUUUGCAAUGGAUCUGUAGAUUAAUACUUACCAAAUAUGAAGUAAAUAUCAUCAACAAUCACUUCUUAUGCUAAGUUCUUCAAGUACAUCUGAGAAGGAUUCCCAGCAGAAUAAUUCCGCAUAGAAACUCAUGAGUUAAUCAUUCAGUCCUUUGUUUGCACUAAUAGUUCAACAUAGAAGGAAAUACCUUUCGUGCUUGUACACGGACUGUGAUGUCUAAGAGUUCAAACACAAACUUGCUACUUAGCUUUUCUCAUUAAUAGAACUUUUGAUGAUUAAGAAGUGAACAUGAUAACUUAUAGACUGGAAAGAUGCAAUCUUAAUGAACUUCUGCAGCAAAUAUUUACUGAACAAAAACAUUUCUUAUCAAUAAACCAGAUACUACUCAUAAUGAAAGGCUAAGAAGCAACAAUCUAUAAGAAAAAGUAGGUUGUAUGAAGCAUGAAUGUAUCUCAAAGCUCAUGAACGUAUCUCAAAACAUGGUGUCACUGACAAAUGAUAAUGGCAGCAGACGCUAAAGCAUAAUGCUAGAAACGAGCAACUGGGAAACUAUAUCUCACUGAUACCUCUUGGUUUGACAACAUAAACAGAAGUAAUUGCAUCAGUAUGGCCCUCUAGUAGAUGCGUACAAGAUCCAGCAGCCUUCUAUAUUCUGAUUAGCACUAUCAAAAGUUAGGUUGACACAAUAACCUUAAAAGAAAAGGCGAGUUCUAAACCAAAAAAUGCAAUUAGCAUAAGAAUAAACAAUCAGUAGGUUAUCAUCCAAAACCAUCAUAACAUCCAGUCAAAACAAACCUCAGAUCACAAAUAAGCACAUCUUGUCAGUUAAGGCAAUAGUGGAUUGUAUGCAAAGAAGACCUUUUUUACAUUCUUAAUUGUCACCAUGUAAUAUUUUAGGGGCAAAAGCACAUGGAGGAUGAAUUUUACCUCAAAACACUUGGAAAAAAAACAGCAUAACGUAAUAAUAUCAAAAACAUUGUCCUUAUUAAUCUAGUGUGUAAGAGAUAUGUAUGAGUGAAGUGAAUGCGCAACAGACCUGGAGUACAAGGUACAGAGAUCAAAUAUCCAGAGAAAUGAAACCAUUUCAUUUAGUCAUAUUAUGCUAGCUCUCUAUUUAUCUAUUUAUUUGGGGGUGGGGGGUGCGGCGGAUAAAACCAAUACAUUAAACAGAGAAUGAUAUACAAGGCAUUAAAAAUUACAAGGAUGACACUGAUAUUCUAGAUAAACAAACUUCACACUCAUGCUUACUUAGAAUUAGAACCAUCAACAGCACUAACCCAGCAUACUUAUCGAAGAAGAAGAGAAGUUCACUUACAUCGUUAAACAUUUUGAUAAUCUAUGAAGAAUAUUCGAGUGGAAAUUAAAGUGAGUUUAGAAGAUAUUUUUGGACGAAAAUUGAGGGAUAACUGGAGAAUGAGAAAGAGAAAGUACAAAGGGAAAAGGAUCAGAGUAGAGCUUUUUCAAAUUUAACCUAGAGAAGUUCUCUGUCUUCCAAGUAAACCUUACAGUCUGGGGACCUCCGAUUGCAGAUUUUCCCCAUCAUGUCAUGUUUCUACUGCUGCUAGCAAGUCAACAUGGAGAAACCAUCAGAUCAAAACCUCUAAAUCCAGCUGUAAAGAACAUAGACGUACAUAUUGGAUAAGCCAAUGUACAAUCAUCUAAGAUUUAGUUUAAUUUGAAAAUUGUAGCAACUUGAAAUGAAGAUGCAUGGCGUAAGCCCUGUGGUGAAGCUGCACUACACAACCUUUCUCAUUACCAUAUCUCCAACAACAUCAUCGAUAGCACAGUCGUCCAAAUGUUACAUAUGACUUUUGUCCACCAUCCUUUAGAUAUCCAAUGACGCAGAGAUGCACCACAUUAUUAAAGCUCAUCAAAACAUACCAAAGUGGCUCUGCACAACCAUUGUACUAAUAUUCCAAAAGGUUAAGUAAACAAAUCUCUUGUGAUUGCAAACUAUUAAACUAAAGAAUAAGUUAUUCAAGACAAUUAUUCACUUCCCAACAUUUCAUUGGACAACAAGCGAAUCUAAAAUGUGAACAUACUUACAUUAUCAGUCAACUUUCCAUAACAUGGAUCCUAUACCGCAAACUUAUAUUUUAAUAAAUUAACAUAUCAAUGCCUAGUUUAGCAUAGUUCAGACUCCAGACACAACAUUUAGUAAACAAAAGGAGUCAAAAUUAUCAGUUGUUUUAUUUCUCAUCCUUCAGUUAUUUCUGCCUGACUAGGCAUUCACGAGUGCCAAUGUAGCAUGAAUGAGUAUUUUUCCCUUUGAAUAACCUAUCAAGUAUCAACUGUAUAAACAUGGGAAAUGUUCCACUAAUCCUAUAUACGCCAUUCUUGAAAUAGUAAAACACAAAUAAAUUGCUUCUUUUUCUUCCUCACAUUUCUUCUUUUUUCUUUUGAGAAAGGUAAAAUACUUCCUCGUGUUUCUUAUUACCUUUUAGUAUCCCCUUUGAAUAACAUAUCAACCGUAUAAACAUGGGAAAUUUUCUACUAAUCCUAUAGUCCCAAUUCUUGAAAGAGUAAAACACAUUGCUUCUUUUUUUCCCUCGCAUUUCUUAUUACCUUUGAAUAACCCAUCAACAGUAUAGACAUGGGAAAUGUUCUGCUAAUCCUGUAUGCCACAUUCCCGAAAUAGUAAAACACAAACACACUGCUACUUUUUUUCUCAAAUUUCUUGUUACCUUUGAAUAACCUAUCAACUGUCUAAACAUAGGAAAUGUUCUACUAAUCCUAUAGUGCCCAUUCUCGAAAUAGUAAAACACAAACACAUUGCUUCUUUUUUUCCCCCUCAAAUUUCUUAAAUCCUAUAGUCCCCAUUCUUUAAAUUGUAAAACACAAACACAAUGCUUCUUUUUCUUCCUCACAUUUCUUAUUACCUUUGAAUAACCUCUCAACUGUAUAAACAUGGGAAUUGUUAACUUAUCCUUUAGUCCACAUUCUUGAAAUAGUAAAACACAAACACAGUGCUUCUUUUUCUUCCUUGCAUUUCAUAUUACCUUUGAAUAAUAUAUCAACUGUAUAAACAUAGAAAAUGUUCUACUGCUCAUAUAGUCCACAUUCUCGAAAUAGUAAAAAACAAAUACAUUGCUUCUUCUUCCUCGCAUUUCUUAAUUGAUACAAACACUUCCUGACGUUUCUUAUUACCUCUGAGUAUGCCCUUUGAAUAACUCUAUCAACUGUAUAAACAUGUGAAAUGUUCUAAUAAUCAUAUAGUCCACAUUCUUGAAAUAGUAAAACAAAAACACGCUGCUUUCAUUUCUUUCUCAGUUUCUUUGAGAAAGGUAAAAUACUUCCUCCGUUCUCGAAAUAGUAAAACAGAAACAGAUUCCUUCUUUUUCUUCAUCACAUUUCUUUUUUUUUGUUUUGUUUUUAGAAAUGUAGAAUACUUCCGCACACUUCUUAUUUCAUUUGAAUAACCUAUCAACUGUAUAAACAUGUGAAAUGUCCACAUUCCUCAAACAGUAAAACACAAACACAUUGCUGCUGCUUCUUCCUCACAUUUCUUAAUUGAUACAAAUAAUUCCUCGUGUUUCUUAUUAUCUCUGAGUGUCCCCUUUGAAUAACCCUAUCAACUGUAUAAACAUGCGAAAUGUUCUACUAAUCAUAUAAUCCAUAUUCUCAAAAUAGUAAAAUACAAACAGAUUGCUACUUCUUUUUCCUCGCAUUUGUUAAAUAAUACAAAAAAAAAAAAAACGCUUAAUUAAUUACCUUCCUUAGGCUGAGGACCUUCUCAUCAGACAAAUCAGAACGUGGAAGACAUCUCCUCAUCUUCUCGCUACUCCGACAUAAACACACGAGAAAAAAAAAACAGUUACAAAAAUUCACAAAGUACAAAACCCUAAAAUUAACAAAGAAUUAGUAACAAUUGUAAGGCAAUUCAAUUGUAAGAAUUAUUAUACUUAAACCGUUAAACGUUUUGAUAAUUGAUGAAGAAUAUUCGAGCGGAAAUUGAAGUGAAUUUAGAAGAUGCUUUUGGAAGAAAAUGGCCCGUGAAAAUUGAGAGAUCAACUGGAGAACGAGAAAGAGAAAGUAUAUAUAGAGGGAAAAUGGAAAUGAUAGAUCCUCCAAGUUUCUAAUUAAGAAAAGGUAAUAAGUGGUCCGGCAAAUAAAUUAAGUCAUUGAGGCAGUUAUUCCAUAAUUAUAUUAGUUAUUUGAACAACUUCUUUCAUUUGUCAAAUAACUAUGUUUAGUUGUUCAAACAGCUGCGUUCAAUUGUUGAAUAAUUUAUGCAGUUGUUGAAUAAUUUUAUAAAAUUAUCGAACAACUAUCAAAGUUGUUCUACAACUGAAAUAAGUUGUUGAAAACAAAAAAAUCUUAAAAAAAAAAAAAACUCAAAAAGGAUUUGUCCAUCCCACCUAAUUUUAAAAAUUUGAAUGACUCCCACUUAAUUGGAUAACUUGUUCGUCCUUUUUAAUCCAAAGUCCCCUGCUAUAGUAGUAAGAUGGAACAAUGGGAGGGUAGUUUAGUCAUUUAAGAAUAAUCUUUUACGUAUUUUUUUAACGGUCAAAUUUUUCCUAUUUUUAGCCUUUGAUGUGGACCGUUGGAUGCAAUUGAUUGAGCUGUUACUGAGCGUUGGAUGUUGUAUGUAAUAAUCUGUUGGCUUGCCCCCUAGUGUAUCAUUUAGAAUUUACUCCUAAUUCUUCAAAAUUAUGUAAAUAUAAGGACAUGUGAAUGUGGUAUAAUAAUUUUUAUAAGAUUUUCCAAUUUUGUUAAAAAGAAUUUUUAGAUUAUGAUUAAAAAAUUCAUAAUUGUAAUAGGAAUAAAAUUUGUCAUUUACUAAAUGAUUAUAUGGUUUAUAUCAAAAAGAGCUAAUCAGCAAAAAAAUUUUAGUAAUAACCGGUCUAUUACUAUUAUUAGUGUAACUGCAUAUGCCCCGCACAUAUAAUAUUUGAUUAUUUAAAGUUAAAUAAUUUUAUUUUUUGUGAAGUUUUUUAAUAAAGUGUAAAAAAUUUAAAUCCGUUAUAAAAUAAGAAAGAAUAAAGAAUAAAAUAAGAAAGAAUAAAGAAGAGUAGAGAGAAUAGAGAGAGUAGUUCUUAUUUCUUCUUUUGAGGGAUGAGAGAUCAUCAGGUUGUAUAUACAAUGAACAAAAACUCUCUAUUUAUAGAGAAAAUUUACUCCUAAUCUGAGUAAAAGACGGAUGCUUCAAAUCCUAAUAGAUAUCAAAGUAGAUUUUGAUAGAUCUUGAUAGACAUUCACUAUAAUGUAAACACAUUUAUAACUCUUCCCCUUGAAUGUCUAAUUGGUAGAUAAUGUGCCUCGUUAAAACCUUACUAGAAAAAAUCCAGUAGGAAAAAAAUCUAGUGAAGGAAAAAGAGUACAUAUCUCUAAUAAUACGCAUUUCGGCUGCCUUAUUAAAAACCUUACAAGGAAACCCAGUGAGACAAAACCUCGUAAGGAAAAAAAAGUACAGCGCGUAUUAACUCCCCCUAAUGAGAACAUCAUUGAACCUCUGCAUCCCGAUCUUGUGCGUCAUCUUCUUAAAAGUUGUAAUUGGAGAAGACUUGAUAAAUAAAUCAGUCACAUUGUCAGUUGAACGAAUUUGUUGCACGUUAAUAUCAUCAUUCUUUUGUAGCUCAUGUAUGUAGAAAAGUUUUGGCAAAAUGUGCUUCGUUCUAUCUCCAUUUACGAAUCUCUCUUAAGAUGUGCUAUGUAUGCUGAAUUAUCUCUGUAUAAAAUUGUUGGUAGAUUGUCAUAUUUCACACCACAUUUUUCUCGAAUGAGAUGUAUCAUGGACCUCAAUCAUACACAUUCUCGGCUUGCUUCAUGAAUAGUUAUUAUCUCAGCAUGAUUCGAUGAAGUGGCUACGAUAGACUGCUUUGUAUAUUUCCAAGAUAUGACAGUAUCCCCACGUGUGAACACAUUGUAUGUUUGAGACCGAGAUUUAUGCUGGUUAGAUGAGUACCCAACAUCAGCAUGACCAGUAAGAUCGGGGCUGCAAUAUUUAGAAUAAAAUAAACUCAUGUAUCUUAUUCCAUUUCGAUAUCUCCUAGUAGAAGUAGAAAUAUAUCUUGCUAACAAAUUGAGCGAAAAGCUAUAUUGGGUCUUGUAGUUUUUUACAAGAUAUAUGAGUGCACCAAUUGUACUAAGAUAUGGUAUCAUAACCAAUCCAAAUCGGUAUAUUUCUCAUUUCAGCAAAUAAUCUUAUUACUUUUGAAAACUCUCCAAGAAUUUUAAUAAUUUUCAAGCUAUAAGCUUAUACAAUAUAAGGAUUAUCAAUAAGUUUCCUAGAAAGUUUUAUAUUUUGAAUCCUUAAAUAAGUUUUCAUACAAAUUUUGUCGGAGUGAUAAUAUUCAACAUUUUAUGUGUGACAUGCAUCUUCAAGUGUCUGGACUGCAAAUCAAAUAAGUUUUCACUUACCAAGAUGCAUCCUUUCAUGUCACUUAAUAAAUGUUUCUAUGUCAGCAUGCUUAAAUUAAUGUAGAAUUAAGAUCCUCGUAAUCUUUCACAAUAUUGCGUCAAUAUUGUGUCAAAGAUAUUGAUGAUGUAUCAUUUAGUAUCGGUUCACAAUGCGACAUAACAUUUUGAGAUCUCAUCACUUCAUUAUUUUCAGGUACAUGAACAUCUCAUAAGGUUUCAUGAAGUGUUAUGUCAUAGGCUCUUCAAGAGUUCAUUGCCUUCUUAUUAUAAUUAUUUGCUCCUUAUUUUUCAAGAAUUAUUUCAUUUGAAAUCGAUUAGUCUAUCACAUUUCACGCAUACAUAGACUUUGUCCUUUAAGAACACAAAAUAAGAGCACUUGCGCUUAAUAUGAGAUGCUUUCGACAUUUGACUUGAAUUAUCUUUUGAAUGAGGAUUUGAUGAUAAUUCCUAACAUACUUCAUAGCUGCUUAUAAUCUCCCCCUUAUGCUAGGAAAGCUAACAUACAUCCUCCAUUUUCUUUGAUGCAUCUAUCUUUGUGCAUCAUGGUACAUUCAUUAAUCGUAUAUCGCACAUCAAAACUAUUAGAUAGAAUAGUUGGUUCAUGACCUUGAACCAAUUGAGGGGAAGAAAUAAUCAUAAUUUAUUGGUCUAAUGCAUACAAGUGUUAUUGUAUGCAACAUGUCAUAUUUCAGAUCAACACAUGAAGCUUUGUUCUCAUUAGCGAUGGUUUAGCUAUUUAUCGAAGGCAUUCAAUGCCAAACCAUCAUCAUCAAGAUAACUUUCUUGAUUGCACAAUAUGAAAAUUAUGUUCCUUAACUCAAUUUGUUGAGCAAACAACUUUAUGAAUGUCAAACUGCAGGUUGACAAUGAAUGUACAUGUGAUCAUCUUAUUGAUGCAUCAUUUUAACAUAUCACAUGAUAGAUGAACGGGCUCUUAUUCGCCUUUUAAAAUUUCCAAAUUUGAAGGGAUCCAAUCCCAAUAUUAGUUAGUCCAACCAACUUAUCAUGAGAACAAACGACAUAAACAAUUUUUGAAGAAUCUUCUAGUUCUUCAAUAAAUGCACAUCUUUGAGAUGUCACAAUCGUUCAUAUCAAUUCAUGAACUUUUAUUCUAGUAAACUCCAAGUUUACCAUGACAUGUACUUUUUCUUUAGUAAAUUUCAGAUUUACUAUUACAUGAAUAAAUUUUAAAUUUAGUACAUCAGAAGUAGAUUUCAAAAUUAUUCAACCUCUUUCGGAGGUGAGUUGUGAUACAAUCACAAUCAAGUUCACAUUUGCAUUAAUAAGUUUCUCAUUCCCUAUAAAUGGAAUAUAAUCGUGCCUUAAGCCUAUCAAAUUAUGAUAGCUUAUAACCUCUUUCAAGAUUUUGCUACUUCAAAAACAAACCGAGGCAUACAUAUGAUGUAGAGAAUUUUUCUCUAGCAUAUCUUAUAAUCAUAUAAGCGUGUGAAAAUAUUUGAUGAUCAUUAUUAUAUUCGUGCAUUCAAUCACUUAUCUUCUUUCAGACAUAUUAUGCACUGCUACCACAUACACCUCAAGAAUGAAGUAAGUUGUCAUAUUUCAAACUCAUCAUAUAUUGCUACCACAUUCACUUCAUGGAAUGGAGCAUAUUCAAUGGGUCGAAUUUCAUAACUUUUCACCCAAUACCCAUUAUUUUGUCUUAGCCAUCACAAUAUCAUCAAGGGAAAAGGCAUCGUUUCUACCCCAAACUAUACCCGAAAAGUCGAAGCCACGCCUAAACUAUACUAGUGACCUAUUACACACCUAAACUAUAAAAAAGUGAAACCAUUUACACCCUGUCAGGCUACCACCACUUGCAUGUGGUGUAGUGUUUUACACGCGCUGCCACGUCAGCACUACGUCAGUAAAAAGUAUCACUUUUUUAUAGUUAAGGUGUGUAAUAGGUCACUUAUAUAGUUUAGGUGUGGAUUCGACUUUUCAACUAUAGUUUGGGGUGGAAACAAUGACUUUUCCCAUAAUGUUUUUAGUCGUUUACUUUUGUUAUUUAAUAGGCUGGACGCGCCUAAAAUAAGUGUAAUACACGCCUUAUAAUGGGGGUUGCGGGGAGGUAAUAAUAUUUAUUUUUUAUAGUUAAGGUGUUUAAUAGGUCACUAGUAUAGUUUAGGUGUGACUUAGACUUUUCGGGUAUAGUUUAGGGUGAAAAUGAUGCCUUUUCCCUAUCAUCAAUAUGGUGUAUUGAGAUUCAAACUCAAUAUUUUAUCCAUAUAAAGGCGUCUUAGGCAUAAAUCAAUGGAACUUGAACCCAAAUAUUACUAUCCCUUUUGAUAAUAUUCUUCUUGAGGAAUGAAUUUAAAACAUAAAUGGUUCCAAACUAAUUAUUUUUCCUCAAAUCCAACAAUAAUUAUAUCAUUAAUAGAAAAAUACGAAUAACAUAAGGAAUUACUAACCUUGACCUUUAGAUUUAUAAUCUCACCUUAUUGGACAGAGUCUCGUGCUGAUAACGUAUUAUGAAAUAAGAAAGAAUAAAGAAGAAGAGUAGAGAGAAUAGAGAGAGUGGUUCUUAUUUCUUCUCUUGAGGGAUGAGAGAUCAUCAGGUUGUAAAUACAAUGAACAAACCCCCUCUAUUUAUAGGGGAAAUUUACUCAUAGUCUAAGUAAAAGACGGAUGCUUCAAAUCCUAAUAGAUAUCAAAGUAGAUCUUGAUAGAUCUUGAUAGACAUUCACUAUAAUGUAAAUACAUUUAUAACAAAAUCACUUUUCAAAGAUCCAUUGCAUUUUAAUACGAUAAUGUAAACAUAAAUAAAUAUUUUAGUAUAAGCAUAUGUAUAUUUUACCACCACAAGUUCCAAAUGAUUGAUGGAUAUCACUUUUACGUUUGUAAAUUGAUCAUAAAUUCAGCCUUAUUCGUUUUGCAUUUGUUCUAGAACCUAGACUAAAGCCUCAUUUGUAAUUAUUAAUAUUCAGACAUCAAAAUUCUAAAUACAUAUCUGAAUAUUAUGUUUCAUUAACUGUUGAAUGAACCCUCGAUCACCUGUGGUACCCAAUAUUGAACAAAUGACGCUCAUCUUGAUUGUGCUCUUCAAAAUCAUUAAUUUUAUCAUUGAUGCCAUGACGUCCCUUGAUGUCUCGUUCAAUGUGUACGUCAAACAUCUGCUCCCCUUCCUAUGCAUUGUUCAAACAUGCAUUUAAAGUGUAUUAAAUACGUGUAAUGCAAAACUAAACAUUCAUAUAAUGCAAUCGCAAAAACUAAAGGAAAAUGUCAGAAACAUAAAACUAAAAAGUUACCUUCAAAUUCAGAUUUUCAGGCUGCCUCCAGACAACAACUUAAUUUCAUUUAAUAUUUUCUCAAAAUAUAUGGUUAUAACAUUCUUCAUAGCUAAAAAUAAAUCAUCAACCUAACUAACUAACAACAAUAUCAACAUACUCAGUUUGGUCCCAUGGGGCAAAGAAGUUGUUUUUAAUAAACCAUUGGCUCAAGUAGAACAUAUUGAAAUCAAGUAUCCAAGAAGCAAAAGUUUGUAUUUUUACUGCAGAAAGUUGUGGAGCGAAGAAAAGGGAGGUCUCUAUUUAGCAAAGAUGAACAUGAAUGUGUACAUUAUUAUAGUUGGUUCUGCAACACCUAGGAUCAACAAAGGUUGAACCAAUGAUGGAGUGUAUAAUUCCAAAAAAAUUGCAGUGAAUGCUAAUUUUUACGGCAGGUAGAAUUUAAUCUGUAGGUGUUAUAAGAAUUUCAUACACAUUAAACAAUUUAUGAAUUUCUAGGUCCAAAGAUAAUUGAAACAAAUUCACCUUGCAUCUUUCAAUGAUCAUAAACUUAUGUAGCAAUAAACAACUAAGACAUAAACUAUCAGAAAAUUCAUGUUAUCUUACAACUCCACAUAAUAAUACAUAGAAUUUCAUCCAAACUCUUUCUAAAAUAUACUAAUGAAUAAUGAAUGAAAAGAAAGUACCUCAAAGUUUACAUAAUCUUCUAAUGCCUUUGUCCAAUUGAAAUAACCCCAAUGUAUUUUUGUUUGAAGACGCUACUUCUAUUGAUUUUUUAUAAAAUCUAUACUGCAAACUAAAAAUACUAACAAUUCUCACUUUUGCGCUAUUAAUAUGUAGAGAAAUACAUGUCCAAAACAAAUAGACAUAACAUAUCCGAGCGGCAUAAAUGGCUAACCAAUACAUGGUACAUGCACAACUAUGCAAGCAAAGCAAAAAAUAGAAUGAGGAUCUUUGUUCGUCAUUCCCGUCUACACACAAAAACAUACAAUCAAUUAAACAUGAUACACAACUAUUCAAGCAAAACACAAUAUAGAUUUAUAAAAUUGAAUCAGAAUUUAUUCAAUCAUUAAGAGAUACUCCUCAUUUAUAAUCAAAUAAUGAGUCCUACUACGUUUGUGAAAUUUUAUUUGGUCCAUCCUUAAUUUAUAAAAGUCGAAAAUCUCUAUAGAAAGAAUUUACCUAAAUAUGAUAGAUUUUUCUUCUUUUUUUGAAAGAAAAAAAGCAAAAAAUAUUUCUGGUAAUUUUCUUUAUUUACUUAAAUUUUAAGAUAUUAACAUAGUACUUCAAGAUUUCUACUAUGACAUUAGUAGUUGGGUCUACUGGAUUUGAAAAAAAAACAAAAAAAACAUGAACCUAAAAACAAAUCCUUCACUUCUAAACCUAACAUUAAUAUCGUUCUAAAAAUGCCACCGACCCCUAAAUUUUACUUAAAAUAAAACUGUAACAUUUAUGACAUUAUUUGAAUUUCAAUUAUUAUACUUGAUAAUUAAAAGAUAAUUAUUUAAGAAAAUUAGUAUAAAGAUGAUUUUAUCUAUUACAGAAUUUUUUAAUGAAGGGCAAAAAGUUCAAAUCACCUUUUUAAAAGUUCACAUUUUUUAUAUAUUAUGAAUAUAGAUUAUUAAUUACUUUCAUAAUAUAAAUUUCCAAAAUAUAUGGAACUCUUUCCGUUAUUUUGUCAUGUAUAACAUUAAUAUUAAUCAUUAUUUGUUACGAAUGUAUUUACAUUAUUGUGAAUGUCUAUUAGGAAUAUAGAUAAAAUCUAUCAAGAUCUAAUUGAUAUCUAUCAAGAUUUGAAGUAUCUGUCUUUUAGUGAGAUACUAAUAUCUAUCCUUUAGUGAGAUAGUAGGAGUAAAUUUUUCCAUAGAGGGAUUUUAUUCAUUGUAAAUUAUUCUCAAAAAUCUCAUCUCAAAUAAAGAAGUCUCCCCUCUUCUCUCUCUAUUUAUCUAUUUAUCUACUCUUUUUCUUUAUUCUUUGUUAUUUCAAACACGUUAUCAACAUUUUUUGUUAUUUCAUAACACGUUAUCAGUAUUCUUUGUUAUUUCAUAACACAUUAUCAGCACGAUACUCUACUAUAUUGAGUAUAUGCUUUAAAAUAUUGAAGCAGUUUGAAACUUCAAUCAUCAGCCGAAUCAAGGUGAAAUUAUAAUUGUCAAAAUAAUCUCAAGGUGAGUAUGGAAUUUGAUAUAAUCAAAUUCAAUUUACACCAAAUAUAUAAUUGUUAUAAACUCUUAGAUUUUGGUACUUUAAGUACGGUUGUGAAUCUCUAUGUAACAUUGAGUAGCAGGUAUGUUUAAGGUUGUAAUUAAUUUUGAAAUUUACUUUCUCACAAAAAAAAAAAAGAAAUUGCUCUACAGUAAAUUACCUUAAGAGUAAUUACUUUUUUAUAAUUAGUAUUACGUUCUUGCAUGUUAAUAUUGAAUUUAAGAAAUACAAGUGGAGCCACUGAAAUAUGUGCUUGAUUAUCAUAUUGUAUCCCUAGAAUAUGAUAUAAAGGAUCCUAUAUUAAUUUUAUUUAUAUGUGAAUAGCAUGUAUUUGCUAACUAGAUCUAAAAUUUUAUGGCUGUGAUUUUAUUUUUAUGUAGUAUUAUAUCCAUUAUCAUUAGAUAAAUAUCAUAAAGAUCAAAUUUGUAUAUGCCUAAAAUAAUCACAGAGUAGUGAUAUUAUUAUAGGCUCAAAUUUAUAUUUUAUUAUACGUUAUUAUUUAUGUUAUUGGUUGAAGAAAAGAUGAUUGAUUCAAAUCCUAAAAUACCAAAAGAAUAAGAUAUUGGAUUAGAGUUCCAAUGCAACAUGAUAAAAUAUUGGGUUCAAAUCUAAUCGAUGUACGUCUAAGACGCCUUUAUAUGAAUAAGACGUUGUGUUUAAAUCUCAAUGCACCAUAUUGAUGAUAUCAUGAUGGCUAAGGCAAAAUAAUGCGUAUUUCAUGAAAAGUGAUGAAACAUGUCCUAUUGAAAUAUGUUCCAUUCCUGAAAUGAAUGUGGUAGCAGUGCAUAACAUGUCUGAAUGAACACAAGUGGUUGAAUAGAUGCACAUAAACGUGGAAAGGGACAAAAUAAUAAUAUUUUUCACAUGUUUGCAUGCCUUGAUCUUAAAAGAGACUAUAAGCUAUCAUAAUUUGAUAGACUUAAGACACGAUUAUAUUCCAAACCUGGAGAAUGAGAAUCUUAUUAAUGCAAACGUGCAUUUUAUUGUGAUGGUAUCAUAACUCACCUCCGAAUGAGGCAUAAUAACUGAGAAGUGUAAUAGUAAAUUUGAAAAAUUUACUAAAGAAAAAAUACAUGUCAUGGUAAACUUGUGUUUACUACUGUAAAUAAGUUCAUAAGUUGAUAUGAACGAGUGUGACAUCUCGAAGAUGUGCAUAUUGAGUAUUAGACAUGUAUUGAAGAAUUAAAAGAUUCUUCAAGAAUUGUUUAUAUCUCUUGUUCUCAUGAUAAGUUGGUUAGACCAACUAAUAUUGGGAUUUGAUCCCUUAAAAUUCGAAAAGUUAAAAGGUGAAAAGGGCUCGUUCACCUAUUAUGUGAUAUGUUUUGAAAAGAUGCAUCAAUAAGAUGAUCAUAUGUAUAUUUAUUGUGAACCUGCAGUUUGACAUUCAUAAAGUUGUUUACUUAAUGAAAUUGAGUUAAGAGCAUUAUUUUCUGACUGUGCAAUCAAGACAAUCCAUCUUGAUGAAAAUGGGUUGGCAUUUAAUGUCUUCAAUAAAUAGUUAAACCAUUGUUAAUGAGAACAAAACUUCAUGUUGUUGGUCUGAAAUAUGAUUAGGACUUAUAUGCAUUAGACCAAUAAAUUAUGAUUAUUUCCUUCCUCUCAAUUGGUUCAAGGUCAGGAACCAACUAUUCUAUCUACUAGUUUUGAUAUGCGGUAUACAAUUAAUAAAUAUACCAUGAUACAUAAAAAUAGAUUCCUCAAAGAAGAUGGAGGAUGUAUGUUAGUUUUCCUAACAUGACGGGGGAGAUUAUAAGCAGCUCUGAAAUAUGCUAGGAAUUAUCAUCAGAUCCACAUUCAAAAGAUAAUUCAAGUCAUAUGUCGAAAACAUUUACUGACUCAAAUUUAAUCUCAUAUCUAAGCUGCAAGUGCUCCUAUUUUGUGUUCAUAAAGGACAAAAUCUACGCAUGUGUGAAGUGUGGUAGACCAAUCGAUUCCAAAUAAAAUAAUCCUCGAAAAGGAUAAGGAGUAAAUGGUCAUAAUAAGAAGACAAUGUGCUCUUGAAAGAGCCUAGGACAUAACACUUCAUGAAACCUUAUGAGAGGUUCAGGUACUUGAAAAUAAUGAAGUAAUGAGAUCUCAAAAUGUUAUGUCACACUGUGAACCAAUACGAAAUGAUAUAUCAUCAAUGAUAUCUUUGAUAUAAUAUUGAUGCAAUAUUGUAAAAGAUUACGAGGAUACGGAUUCUAUGUUUAUUUAAGCAUGCUGACGUAGAAACAUUUAUCAAGUGACCUAAAAUGAUGCAUUUUGGUAAGCGUAAACCUUAUUUGAUUUGCAGUCGAGACACUUGAAGAUGUCACACUUGACAUGUUGGAUAUUGUCACUCAAUAAAAAUCCAUAUGAAAAUCCCUAGAGGAUUCAAAAUGCCGAAAGCAUAUAAAGUUUAUGGGAAACUUUUUAUUAUCCUAAUAAGAGAUAAUUUGAUGAUCUGAGUAUCAGUGGAACUCUUGGAGAGUUUUCAAGGUAAUAGAAAUAUUUGCUCAAAUGAGAAAUAUGGAAAAUUGAAUACGGAUCCAUUCCGACCUCAAGAAAAGAAUGAGGAACUCCUUGGUUAUGAAGUGUCAUAUCUUAGUGCAAUUGAUGCACUAAUGUAUAUUGCAAAUACUGCAAGACUUGAUAUAACCCUUUUCAAUUAAUUUGUUAGCAAGUUUGCAGUCUUGAUCUUAUUGGUCAUGUUGAUGUUCGGUACUUAUCUGACCUAUAUAAAGUUUGGUCUCAAAUAGGCUAUGUGUUCAUAUGUGGUGGUACAACAAUGUCUUGGAGAUAUACAAAACAGUUUAUCGUAGCCACUUCAUCGAACCAUGCUGAGAUAAUAGUUAUUCAUGAAGCAAGUCGAGAAUGUGUAUGGUUGAGGCAUGAUAUAUCUUUUUUUCCUUCACUAUUUUUUUUUCCUUCACUAAAUUUUUUUUUCCACUGAAUUUUUUCUAAUAAGGUUUUAACGAGGCACAUUAUCUAUCAAUUAAACAUUCAAGGGGAGUAUUAUAAAUGUAUUUACAUUAUAGAAUAUCUAUCAAGAAUAUAGAUAAGAUUUAUCAAGAUCUAAAUGAUAUCUAUCAGGAUUUGAAUUAUCUAUCUUUUAAUGAGAUUUGAAUUAUCUGUCUUUUAGUGAGAAACUAGGAGUAAAUUUCUCCUAUAAAUAGAGGGGUUUUAUUCUCUCAUUCUCAAGAGAAAUAAAGAUGUCUCCUAUCUUUUCUCUAUAUGUAUCUACUCUUCUUCUUUAUUCUUUGUUAUUUCAUAAUACGUUAUUAGCAUUCUUUGUUAUUUCACAACUUUUAUUGUUUCCUUAACAAUGGAAAUUUGGAGCCAUUAAUUCUGAUGAUUUCUAAUAAGGAAAAGUUUUAUCAUAAAUAUAUUUUAAUUUUUAACUCUUAAAUAUUAAAAAAAAUAGUGAAAAAAUAAUUUUAUUUAAAACAAAGACUUUUAAUGGAGGAUAAAAAGUUCAAACAAUAUUUAUUAGGUCGUUCACACUUUUAAUAUAUUACUAUUAUUAUUAUUAUUAUUAUUAUUAUUAUUUGCCUGAUUACUAAGUAUUUUCUACCCUUCUACUUCAUAAAUAAUAAAUUUAUAGGUUUACAAUAUUAAUUAAAAUGCAAAAAGAAAAUCACAAAUAAUUAAAAAGAUGAAUGAAUUUAGAUAUGAUGUAAAACCCUACUACCACAUUGACCCGACCCGUUUUUCCUACCACGGGAUCGCUUAAACCCCUACCGCCAACCCAUUCUUUCUCUCUUUCAGCUUACUUUGAAGCUAAACUGUAGGCACAUUAACGUCCAUUUGUAAAAAUAUUUUAGCUUUUUACGCUGAAUAUUGGCAGCUGCAGCACAACAAUGUAAGAAUUGUUGUUUUUUUUUCUUUGUACUAAAUUUGAAUUUGAUGAUUUCCCAGAAUUAAGUUUUUUUGAGUGUCUGAUUGAUUUGUAAAUGCAAUGAAUUGAGUUUUCUUGUUCUGGUUUGUAAGGAUUAAUGUUUGGUUGGUUUAUUUAUUCAAUUUGAAUAAUACCCAGAAUGGAGUUUUGUGUAUCUAGUUUUUUUGGAAUGCGAAAAUUUUAGUUUUUUUCUUGGUGGAUUGUAGGAAUUAUUGAUUAUUGUGGUUUAAGUUUGAAUUUUUAUUACACCCAGAACUGAGUUUUGAGUUUCUGGUUGAUUUGUGAAUGCAAAGUCUUGAAUUUUCCUGUUCAGGUUGUAAGGAUUAAUGUUUGUUUUGGUUUUAUUUAUUUAUUUAUUUAUUUAUUCAAUUUGAGUAAUACCCAGAAUGGAGUUUUGUGUAUCUCGUUGUUUUGGAAUGCAAAAAUUUGAGUUUUUUCUUGGUGGGGUUGUAGGAAUUAUUGAUUAUCGUGGUUUAAGUUUGAAUUUAAAGGAUACUCAGAACUGAUUUUUGAGUUUCUGUUUGAUUUUGAUUGCAAAGAUUUUUUUUCUUUUUUUCUUUUUGGUGUUCUUGGAUAGUGUUAAAUGUUUAGUGUGUAUUUUUGUAUUGAAGGUCUCGUCUCUGUGUGAAGAAUUUGCCAAAGUAUGUAGCCGAGGACCGUCUCAGAGAAUUCUUCUCUCAGAAAGGGGAAGUCACCGACGCCAAGCUCAUGCGUACUUCGUUAAGUUUCUCUUCUCCUCUCUGCUCUACCUUUUUUUUUUUUUUUUUUAAAUAGUAAUGUGAGCUGUAGACAAACUCUGUGCCUGAGUCCAUAGUUUGUUGUACUGAUACGGGUCAAAAUGGAGGGAGCCAGCUAGAAAGCAUUCAUACAGUUAACCACAAUUAGUAAAGAACUUGUUGUUAAUGACUAAUGUACAGUAGCAUUUCAGUUUUUCAGUUUUUCAUCGGUGGUUUCAGCCAAUAAUUGAUUUUUUGACUGGUAUUCACGAAUUGCUAUUUGAUACUGUAGAGAUUUUUGGGUAUGUUCAUGAAUUUGAAAUUCAUUUGACAUCGACUGAUUGCCACUUUAAGCAGAGAUGGAAAGAGCAGGCAGUUUGGAUUUGUAGGAUUUCGAACGGAGCAAGAGGCUGAGGAAGCUAUCAAGUAUUUUGACAAGUCUUUCAUGGAUAAUAGUCGUAUUAUUUGUGAGGUAUGUUUUUUCUGCUUCAGUUACUAUGCUGUUCUGCUUGGGUGGUAUACCUAUUUAGCAGAAGACGAAAAAGCAUAUCUCUGUUCCAUAUUCCAUUAUUUUGAAAUUAGUCGAUAUAUACAUUUCAAAUUACUCCACCUGUCCUAUUUUAUGUGACAUACUUUCCUUUUUGGUUGUCCAAAAAAAAUGACAUCUUUGUAAUAAUUAGAAAUACUUUGACUUUAAUUUUUUAUUUUACUCUAUUAUAGCCUCAAAACUGGCAUGGUUUUUGUUAGACCACGAGCUCCAAAAAGAUUUCUUUCUUAAACUCCGUGUCAAGUCAAGCACCGCCAAAAUAGCUGGGACACAUAGUAUAAAAGAUGAUGCCUUUAUAAUUUUUCCAAGUAGCUAGUGAAAGUAUCCUUAUAUAAGUCCUGUUAACUUUAUUGCUUUAUUCUAAUUUACAUUGUGAAUUACUUGAAUCUUUAUUUUCAUGGGUUGUGGAUUAUUAUUUUUCUAGAGAGUAGCUAUAUAUUGGUGAUGUGCUUGAAUGAUAUGUGCGGGGGUGAGAGGUUGACUGGGGAUAGUUUCAGGAGAGGUAGAGGUAGGCUGAAGAAGUAUUAGCGGAGGUGAUUAGAGAAGAUAUGACACAGUUAAAGCUUACCGAGGAUCCGACCUUAGGUAGGAGGUUGUGGAGGAACACAACUUAGGGUAGAAGGCUAGAUAGAAGUAGAGCAUUGUCUCGCUUGUCCUCACAUAUGGUAGUCGUCGUAUUUCUCCGGUAGUUUCUUGUCCUUCAAUUUCUGUUACCAGCUACUGUCUCUUGUACUAUAAUUACCACAGUAUUUUAUUGUAGUAGCUAUUCCUUUUUCAAAAUGCUUUGCCAUGAUUUCUUCACUUUUCAUUAAUUUUUUCGAUUUGCUUUCAUAUGCUUUUUCUUGAGCCGAGGGUCUAUUGGAAACUCUCUACCUCCCAAAGUAGGGGUAAGGUCUGCAUGCACUCUAUCUUCCCUAGACCCCACUUGUGGGAUUACACUGGUUAUAUUGUUGUUUUGUUCUUGUGCUUGAAUGACACAUAAAUUCAUUUUCAUAUAGCCAGAUUGCAAGGAAAAUUGGGGAUCCAAAUAUCCCUCGUCCAUGGAGCAGGCACACUUUGAAGAAACAAGAGAAAUUGACAAAUGAGGAUGAGAAUGCAAAAGUAAACAAAAGUUCCAAGUCUGCAGGUUUAAAAGGGGACAAAAAGAAUAGUAAACAGGAGAGUAAGGAUGAGGAUCCUCAGCUUCAAGAGUUCCUUGAAGUUAUGCAGCCUCGGAGUAAGUCAAAGUUGUGGGCAAAUGAUACACUAGCAGCUCCAUCUCUUGCUCAAAGUAAAAAGGAUGGCCAUAAGCAAUCCCAGGCAAAAGAGACUAACCGGGAAAAAUUGGCUACUGAUAACUCUGAGUUAGAUGAGGUUAUUAAAAAAGAGGAAUCUCUGUCAGUUAAUGAAAAUUCUGAGAAACCUGACAGCUUCCAUAAUGAUGAAGUUAUGACCGAUACAGAUUAUUUCAAAAGUAGAGUGAGGAAAGAUUGGUCAGACUCAAAAAGUAGUGAAGACGAUGGUAGUGAUAAUGAAAGUGACACUGAAAGUGGCAAGAGCAAUGAAGAUGCAAAUACUGGUAAUAUCCUCAAACCUGAUGAUACAGAGGAAGUUUUGACUGAUGGGUUCACCAGAUCUAACAAUAAAUCGCUUGAGCCUGCUGACCCUUCAUCAAGUGUUAUGGAUGAAAAAGAAGAAGAUCUGGAGAGUGGACGAUUAUUUGUUCGUAAUCUUCCUUACACCACGACGUAAUACAUCUUUGUUCUUCUUUUUUCCUUUAUCCUUUUUUUUUCUGGGUGAUUUAGUUAACUCGAUAUGUUGACUUCAACAAACCUAAUGUAUGUUCUUGCCAAACAAAUGGUUUUAUGACUCAGGGAAGAGGAGCUGGAAGAACAUUUUAGAGCAUUUGGCAAUGUCUCACAGGUUCAUAUUGUUGUUGACAAAGAUACAAAGCGGUCCAAAGGAUUUGCAUAUGUUCUCUAUGCAUUACCAGAAUCUGCUGCUAGGUACCUGUCAAUCAGCAUCCAAAUUCUAAGCUACUGCACUUUUUACCUGCAAGAAGCACACUGAUAUCCGUGUUAUAAAUUCUGAGUCCCUUGUAUACGUAUGUAUGUGUCUAUUUUUCAUGUUCCAGUGCUUCCUUGCAUUGCUUUUUGAUUGUUUCUUCCAGGGCAUUAGCGGAGCUGGACAGUUCAAUUUUUCAAGGACGAUUACUUCAUGUCAUGCCAGCUAAGCAGAAAAUUUCUCCAGAGAAGAUAGAGUAAGUGUUGUUUUACCACGCUUUUCAAUGUUCAUAUCCAUUAGAUUGUUUGCUUAUGCAUAUAUGUCGAGAGAAGCUCUCCUUUUUCUUUUUAAUAAUGUGGGAUCUACCUUGCUAUUAUAAGAUUGGUUCAUUUAUUACUCUGUAGGACAGUUGAUAAUACCAAGCAAUUUUCAAAAACAUUUAAGCAGCAGAGACUACAGGAAAAGAAGGCAUCUGAAGCUAGUGGAAAUACACAAUCUUGGAAUACUCUUUUCAUGCGGCCAGACACCGUAUGUACACUAUCGAAUGUUAUAAUUUAGAAUAUUUUUUCUUACUAUUAUGAGGGUUGGUUCUGUCAUUUUAGAAUUUUAAUCUAUGUUUUGCUAAGACACACAUUCUUAUCCACAUUCUGCGCCACAUAAAAUAAUACAGAAAUUUAUGCAUAAACUCUACAUGGAUUAUUUAUGAGGAAAACGAUAACUAACAUCUGAACAUUGUACAAUUUAAUAUGGAUUUUUAUGUGAAGCUUAAAUUUCCUCAAUCCCAACCAAACAUGGUACAAAUUAACUUUGGGAUUUUUUCUUCCGGGGGGUGGGGGUGGGGGUGGCUUUGUACAUCAACUUUUACAGCCCCUUGAUGCUUGCUGUAAUAGACUGGGUUUAUCUUUUUUUACAUUUGAUCUGAUUUGAGUUAUUUUUGUUCCUAUAUUAUGCUUCUUGUAAGAUGAUUUGGUUGUUCAAAUCUUUGUAGCUAUCCUAACUUGUAUAAUCAGUUUUUGAAAUGCUUCAGGAUCUUUAAUUACUGCCCGUUUGGGUUGAGUAUGCAUUCUACUGUGUCAGCGUUUGGACUUGUUCUUGAAAGUAAAAAUGAGCUCCUUCUGUUCUUUGAAAUUUUUUAGGUUGUCGAGAAUAUUGCAAGAAAAUUUGGUGUUAGUAAAAGUGUUCUUCUUGAUAGAGAAGCUGAUGAUCUUGCCGUACGUAUAGCAUUGGGUGAGACUCAAGUGAUAGCAGAGACGAAAAAGGCUCUUGCAAAAGCUGGGGUUAAUAUUGCUUCACUGGAAGACUACGCUGCUGGAAAAACUGAUGGAGUGAAACGAAGCAAUCACGUUAUUCUAGUUAAGAACUUGCCCUAUGGUUCGUCAGAAGGUGAACUUGCGAAUAUGUUUGGGAAGUUCGGGAGUCUGGAUAAGAUUAUUCUUCCUCCCACCCAAACCUUAGCUUUGGUUUGUGCUUUUAUCUUUGAAGCCUUUGGUUUGAAAUGACUAUUCUUGUAACUAUAAUUGUUCUUUAUGUGCUUUGUGACUUUUCCGUACAAUAGGGUGUUCUGAUUUGAUACUAAUAGACCAAGUUUCUGUUUGUGUAAAUAGACAUGAAUUAGUUGGAAAUAACAAGAUUGUUUGCUGCUUCUGUGAUUAUUACAAUCAGGUUGUCUUCCUAGAACCGGCAGAAGCACGCACAGCUUUUCGGGGCCUAGCAUACAAACGUUACAAGUAAGUGUAUAUAUCCGUUUCUUGCUUUUGAUACAGCGGUGAUUUUUGUAGUUGAACAAGUAGCUGUAUAUGUAAAGACAAUUUCAUGUCAUGACUGAUAACUAAGCAAGAUUGGAAUAGCUUUAGAAUUGGGAUAACACAUAAAUACUCUCCUCAACUUAUUGUGAAUAUUCAUCUAUACUUUUUAACUUUGCUAGUGCCCUAUUACACCCAACCCCCAAGGGGCCUUUUUGAAGUUGAGUAACUACCAGAUUUGUGUUGGGUGUUGAAAUAACACCACUUACUCCAUAUACUUUGAAGUUGAGUAACUUUGCUAGUGCACUCACCACUUAAUUUUUGUUCACCUUUUUUUUCCAUAUACUUUGGUUAUUUCUUCCUCCACCUUUGUUCAAAUGCAUUAAGCGGACUCUCCCCCAAUCUAAACUUUGCGCCUUCCUCUCACUCCUACUCCAAUAAUUCCUUGUCAAUGAUUAGUGAUGUCGCCCUGUAUUCUCGAAACAAGGUGCAUUUUAUGUUACCUCGGAUCCUGUUAGUGAGAGAAGACUCAAAAUUAGAGGGAAGCCAUGGAAAGAGAAGGGAAUUCCAUUUUUUUUUACUUUGCUUUAGAGAAUUGAGAAACCUUCCAAUUUUUUAUUUUGCAAGAUUGAGGUUUCUCCUAGCUUGCUUUGUUCUUUCUAGCACAUAUCAGUUUUGCUGCAUCUCAUAUGCAAUAUAUUUUGAUUCAGUCUUGAAAGUUUGGAAUUAUGAAGUAAAUUUUGUCCCUUUGUCCUGAUGCAGAGACACUCCCCUUUAUUUGGAGUGGGCUCCUGGGAAUAUUCUUGAUCAAACGAGUGAUUCCAAAAAUGAUUUUAUUGUUGGUGAAGAUGAUGUAAAGAGAGUGCUCCUGGAGCAACAAGUGGAAGGAAUAGCAGAUCCAGAUGUUGAUCCUGAUAGAGUGGAGGUAUAUAAACUGUAAAACCCAUGUUUCCCAUCUUUAUAUAGAAUGUACUUUGGUGCUAAGUCCCUACUGUUGUAUGAGUCUACUUGCGAGCUGUUUAUAUCUACCUGUAUUGUAUAGACUAAUACCUAGCUAAGUUUGUCCUCGUCAAUCUUUGCUUGUGGAUUAUUUUUCUGUUCAUCUCCAUUUGCCAGCAACCGCAAAUGAAGCUUUGUUGAGGUUGGCACUUCCAUUUGAUCAAUAGUCUAUUAUUAUAUGCACUUCUGUCGCCCUGACAUGUGUCCCACCAUAUGACACAAAGUUUCACUUUAUGAAUGCCAUUUUAGGAGUCUGUCAUGUUGGUACAUUUACUUUAGGUUCAAUGUUUGUUAGGUACAUUUACUUUAGGUUCAAUGUUUGUUAGGAGUCUUUUAGUUUCGAUACAGAUGCUAGUAGAAAAUGUAAAGAAUCUCUAGUGCUAGAGAAACCAGAUCAAAAUCGUAGAGAGACGAGCUUGAGUGGAGUGGCAUCUAGCAUGUGUUGAGGACUCAUACAACUGACCCAACUAGCAUGAGGUUGAGGCGUACUUUUUGUUUUUGUCGAACACAAAAAUGUGGAAGAUAUUACAAAUUUAAGUGGUUUUGUUUUUGUUGAACACAAAAUGUGGAAGAUAUUACACAAAAUGAGGAGUGGCAUCUAGCAUGUGUUGAGGACUCAUACAACUGACCCAACUAGCAUGAGAUUGAGGCGUACUUUUUGUUUUUGUCGAACACAAAAAUGUGGAAGAUAUUACAAAUUUAAGUGGUUUUGCUUUUAUUGAACACAGAAUGUGGAAGAUAUUACAAAUUCUUAAACGAACUCUUACAUUUGAUUGAUACUGGUAACGUACUGGUAUAUAUAAAGUCACAUUUUCAGAGAAAUGAAGAAACCCGGCUAUGCAAAAAUCAAAUUUACAGACAGCCUAUCAAAUCGAUUAGAGAAUCUGUUUCCUCUAGUAGUAUGUAAGACUUUUUUGAGAAUUUCUACUAGUAUGUAAGACUCAAACUUAAGUCUACAUAUUUAUUCAAGUUUUUAGUUUGCUGGAAAUUAACUGUGGCCUGCAUAUGAUAGGUCCCCAGAAAAUCAGAAAUAAAUAAUUCUCAAAUAUGAACUGUACUCUUGUUGUUGUUGUUGUUGUUGUUGAACUGUACUCUUGGUAGCAGCAGACUAUUGAAUACACAUGGUCACAUGACAUGCUGGUUCAGCUGCUCCACUAUUGCCAAAAAAUCAUGCUACCUGUACCAAAAACCAAAAGAAUUCAGUUAUUGGAAAUAAGUAUAUAGUGAAGAACAUUGCAGUUAUAGAAAUUCCUUGUUACUUCUUUGUUUGUUCUUAUAACUGCCUUGAUUUCUCAGGUUUGUUUCUUGUUUCAUUAACCAAUUGAUAUUCUUGUUGUCACCUUUCCAGUCACGAUCACUGUAUGUCAAGAACCUAAAUUUCAAGACAUCAGAUGAGAGUUUAAAGAAACAUUUCACUGAUCACAUAAAGGAUGGGCGAAUAUUAAGUGUGAGGGUAAGUUCUUGUGGCUCUUUUUUAUGCUGAGACGCCAAGUAUUUAGCAUAGUAUUUCCUUUGUGCUACAUGAAAAAAUAACUAGUCUUCCUCCAACACCUGUUAAUAUUAUUCUGUGAAGGUGAAAAAGCAUGUAAAGAAUGGAAAAACUGUCUCGAUGGGUUUUGGAUUCAUUGAGUUUGAUUCUGCUGAUACAGCAAUCAAUGUUUGUAAGGAUUUGCAGGUAAUCAGUCUGAUUUUUGUUUUAACAUUUUGUCCAUACAUUCGGGCUCCUACAAAUAGCGUUUCAUCUUCCCCUCUUCUUGUCAUUCAGGGAACUGUUUUGGAUGGGCAUGCACUUAUAAUGCAACUUUGCCACACUAAGAAGGAUGAUCAACUACCAAAGAAAGCUGAGAAUGAUAAGAGUUCGACUAAGUUGCUUGUUAGGAAUGUUGCUUUUGAGGCAACUGAAAAGGAUCUCAGGCAACUAUUCAGUCCAUUUGGGCAGGUACUUCCUCUGAAGUGUUGUUAAUGUAGGGUGAUACUAAGUAGUAGAAAAUAAUACUAGGUUUUCCUGUGUUGGGAAGUGGCAAAGCUAGAAGUUAAUUGAGGAUAAGUAUGUCUGUGGGCACGAGGAUGCAUUAUAUCCUGUGCAUUUCCAUUGAGUCCAUAUGAGAGACAUUUAUCCAUAUGUAAGUGGGCAUGUAGAAUUCUCUCCGAUUUGUAAUGCUUUUGUUCAAAAUUCCAGGUCUAGUGGAAUGUGUCAUGAAAUUUAUUAGUGUGAAAAAUGUUGAUAUAGACAAAAUGAUGCGUGGUAAUUGGCAGAUGAUCUAGCCACUAGAAGCUAGGGCUAGAAAAAAAAAAAAACAUUAUGAUGGUUACUUGAAAGUCUGACAUAUAUGUUAUUUUUGACCUGCAUUCAUCAUGUUUCACAUAGCGACUUAUUUCAAUGUCCUUUCCGUUGACCUCAAAAUUAAAUUCAUCCUACAGAUUAAGAGUUUAAGGCUGCCAAUGAGGUUUGGGAACCAUAGAGGAUUUGCAUUUGUAGAGUUCGUCACUAAACAAGAGGCAAAGAAUGCCAUGGAAGCUCUAUCCAAUUCUCACUUGUAUGGGCGCCAUUUGGUAUGUGAUCUUGCAAUUCUCAUAGUAUAUAUCUACUACCUAAAUAUCACCAAGUAAUAUGUUGUGGUGCAUGUUACAUCUCAGGUUCUUGAGAGAGCCAAGGAAGGUGAGAGCUUAGAGGAAUUACGCGCUCGCACAGCUGCUCAGUUUAGUACUGAGCAAAAUGGGUUUCAAACUACUAAAUUAUCAAAGAAGAGAAAACAAAUGGCUAUAUUGGAUGAAGGGAGUUUUAAAUUCGAGCGAAUUGCUGAUUAAAUACUUCACAACUCCCUUCAAAUCCCCAAUUCACUUGUCCUGUAUAGGUUAAAGCUACUAAUUCUGCAGUAUUUAUAGCCCAAUAGUACUAAGAUGAGAGCUUGUUUAAUCAAUUUUGUUCAUUAAUGUAAUGUCUUGACAUCCUCUUCGGUUUGUAUUGUAGAUCAUGAAAAGUUUGCUGUCAGUUUGUGACAAAAAAAUAUCAAAGUAGUAGGUAAACAAAGUUUGAUCCUUUGGGAUGUUUCUUAUGGAUUACUUUAAUAAUGAAGAUAGCAUUCUUGUCACAGGGGGGUAAUGUAGAAAUGCUAUUUCUUAUCCACCAUAACCAAAAGAAAAAACUUAAAUCAUCUCGAGUUUAGAAGGUGAAUUUCUUGGUUAGAAAAAGAAGGGCAACAAAGGGUCGAUUUAAAAGGAAAAAAAAAAAACAGAGUGGCCAGUGUGAAAACAUGGACAAUUUUUUAAUUUGAGUCAAAAAAAUUUCCUGCAUUAUUAGAAUGACAAAGAAAAUAAGAAAAAAAAGUGGAAGGAAAUGAAGGAGGACGGCAAACAGGCGUUGACGUCCUAGUUUUAAAUACUUACAUAAAUUUUAAGUGAUAUAUCUCAAAGAAUGUGAUGUAUUCUUGUUGAAUUUUUUAGAAUUUUAAAAGACGUUGGAAUAGGAAGUAAUUAACAUCAAAAGAAUUGAGAUUUGCGUAACUUUUACAUUAUUUAUUCUGCUCUAGAAAAGUGCAAGGAAAUGAAGGAAAAUUUAGCGUCUUUAGAAAAUUCUCCAUCUUUAGCAAAAUAAGAACAAAAAUUUGCGUACAUUUUAUCUUUUCUAAAUUUCAUCUAUACGUGUUGACAGUUUGAUAACAUUUUCUUUUCUUGUUAAAAUAGUUCCUUCUUUUGGUCGUGACAUGCGCAAUUGGAAAAGAAAAAAGAAUCAAGUAAAUUGGUAAUAACGACAUUGCAGAAAUUUACCUCAAAAAAAAAAAAAAUUAUUGUCCCCUUUAAACUAUAUAUCAUCGAUCACUAUCAUUAUUCAUCAUUAUAUAAUCACCAAUCAGCACUAUAUAUUAUAAACUAUCGUCAUCAUUCACCAUCACUAUAAGCUAUUACUAUCAUCCACCACAACUAUCAGUCAUUGUGACAAGGAGUAACCAUCAAUCACUACUCUCACAACUAUCAUCACCAAUAGCUACACCCUUAACACCACUAUUUGCCAAUAUAUCUUCAAUCGACACCCACAAUCACUAUCGCUAGCCAUCACUAUCAUCAACAGUCAUAUAAUGUUUAUAGUAAAUUAAUUUAAUUUUUUUUAUUAAAUUUUACUUUAUAAUAGAAGCGGCAAUCUUGACCAUUUUAGAGUCGUCCUGGCUGCUUCAGCUGCUUCAAGCGUAAUUUUACUAUAUCACCCCUAAUUAAUUAUUAUAAAUUAUUUCAUUUAAGUAUUAUAAUAUUAAUAAUAUUUAAUAAAAGAAUAGUUUUCAAAAUGACUACUAAAUUCCUCAAAGUUCCAUUUAUUAUUAUUCGAGAAUUUUUUUUAGCUGUUUCAAUCGUAAUUUUAAUGUAUCACCUCUAAUUAAUUAUUAUAAGCCAUUUACGUAUUAAAAAUUAAUAAUAUUUAAUAUAAAAAUAAAACAAACAUUUUUUACAUGUCUGCUUCAGUUGGUUCGACAUAAUUUUACUAUAUCACCUCUAAUUACUCAUUAUGAGUCAUCUAAGUAUUAAAAAAUAAUGUUAAAAAAUUAUUAUAAAAUCAUCUAAGUUUUAAAAAACUAAUAAUAUAAAAAAAUAUUAAUCUGCCAAAUAUUUUUCAAAAAUAGGUAAGAAAUACUAUACAUCACAAUAAUUAGCAACUAGAAAGUUUAGAGUCAAUUUACUUUCUUUGGCACAUCUUCAUUGGUCCUUUCCUUUGCCUUCAUUUUUUCAUCUAUUUUAAUUUGUUAUAUAUUUUUUAAAAAAAAACUUGUAAAUCACAAUAAUUAAUAAAUUAAAAAUUAAAAACAUAUAAAUAUUUGACUGACUUUCAAAAUUAUAUCAUUGCUACUUAAAUUGGAAUAGAAGAAAAAAUACUAUAGAUCACAGUAAUUAAAAACUUAAAUUAUUUAUAAAAUAUAAUUGACUAUCAAUAGUACAAAAUUUUAAACAAGGAGUGUAACAUAUAUUAUUUAAAAUUUACAUAAAACUUAUUAUAAAUUACAAUAUUUAACAAAUUAAAAUAUCUAAAAAAAAUUAUUAUAUAUUUUAAAAAAUACAUAAAAGUGCUAUAGAUCAUAAUAAUUAACAAAUUUAAGACAUAUAAAAUAUUUGAUUGACUUUUGUUCAAUUAUAAAAAAAUAAGCACUUUGAUGAAGAUUUAUAGUAUCAUUCAAGUAAAUACAGAUUAAGAUCGUAGAAACAUGAGCUAGUGAUAUAGCUACACCUAAUUCCAGACCGGUUAAUGCAAGAACUAUAAAUAAAGGACCAAGAUCCCCUAUGAAAUAUAAUUGAAUAUCAACGCCACAAAAGUUAGGACAAGGAGAGUAACAUGUAUUUUUUGAAAAUCAUAUAAAAAACAUUACAAAUUACAAUUGUUGACAAUUUAAAGUAUUUUUUUAAUUUUUUUUUAUAUAUUUUUAAAAAAUACUCAAAAAGAUACUACAAAUCAUAAUAAUUAAUAAUUUUAAAAAUUGUAAGGAUAUAAAUAUUUGGUUGACUAUAGAAAUUAUAUCAGUGCUACUUAAUUUGAAAUUAAAAAAGAUUAUAAAUCUCAAUAAUUUUAAAAGUUAAAUUAUUUUUAAAGUAUAAUUGGCUAUCGAUGCUACAAAAGUUUGAAUAAGGAGAGUAACAUGUAUUAUUUAAAAAUUACAUAAAAAAAUAUUAUAAAUUACGAUAAUUAACAAUUUAGAAUAUUCAAAGCAUACUAAAGAUAUGAUUGAUUAUCUAUAUUUUAUUUAUGUCACAUAAAUUGAGACUAAAAAAUAAUAUAUAUUGGGCCCGUGCCAACCUAUUUAAAUAAAUUUAUAUAUUCAAAUAUUGAAAAAUAAAUAACUUUAAUUAUUUAAUAUUCAUAUCUUAAUUACUUAGUAUUCUGGUAAAAUAUGUGUUACCACCAAACAAAUCUCAUCAUUUUGUGACUUAAUCUAUAAUAUAUUAAAAGUGUGAAGCCCGUUAAAAAGUGAUUUGAAUUUUUUAUCCUUCAUUAAAACACUAUACAAUAGACAAAAUCAUCUUUUCACUAUUUUCCUUAAUUUAUUAUUUAAUUAAAUUUUUAUUUUUUAAAGUCAAGAAAUCCUAAAUUAUACGGUAAAAGAAAAAUAUAUAGAGAAUUAAUAUUGGUAAAUUUUUUAUUUCCUUCUAUAUGUAAAAAAAGAGUCUUGAAAUAUUUGGUAGAAAAAAGAUCCUAAAAUAUAUAAUAAAGAGAAUAAGAAAAGAUUUAAUAGUAGAAAACUUUAAGUAAAAAAGAAAAAUAAAAUCUCACCUAAAGUUUUAGAAAAACCAUUAUACGUUUUCUUUUAAUGUUAUGAUUUUAAUUCCUUUAAGUAAAAAGGAAAAAUAAAAUGUCAACUAAAGUUUUAAAAAAACUAUUGUACGUUUUCUUUUAACGUUAUUAUUUUAAUUUCAAACUAUAUAUAUAUAUAUAUAUAUUUCUUUUCUAUAUAAUAGAAACACUAAUUUUGACCAAUGCUUCAUCAAUUGCUAUACUACCCCAAAUUAUUUCAGAAUUUACUAUAUUACUCCUAAUUAAUUAUUAUAAUUCAUUUAAAUAUUAGAAUUAAUAAUAUUUUUUUAUUAUAUUAUCCCUAAUUAAUUAUUGUAAGUCAUUUAUAUAUUAUAAUUAAUGAUAUUUAAUUAAAAAAUAGACAUUUAUGACUUUUGUUUCAGCUGCUUUAACUGUGAUUUUACUUUAUCAUCCCCAAUUAAUUAUUAUAAGUCAUUUAUGUAUUAAAAAAUUAAUAAUAUUUAAUUAAAAAAUUAGAUGACAUGUCUACCUAUAUUACCUCUAAUUGCCCCGUAAUUUAUUAUAUUACCCCUAAUUAAUUAUUAUAAGAAAUUUAUAUAUUAGAAUUAAUUAAUUAUUAUAAGUCAUUGAUAUAUUAAAAUUAAUAAUAUUUAAUUAAAAAAAUAUUUAUAACGUUUGUUUCAGCUCCUUUAAUCGUGAUUUUACUAUAUCAUUCUUAAUUAAUUAUUAUAUGUCAUUUAUGUAUUUAAAAAUUAAUAAUAUUUAAUUAAAAAAUAGAAGUUUAUGAUGUUUGUUUCAACAUCUUUAACCGUAAUUUUACUGUAUCAUCCCUAAUUAAUUAUUAUAAGUCAUUGAUAUAUUAAAAUUAAUAAUAUUUAAUUAAAAAAUAGAAGUUUAUGAUGUUUGUUUCAACAUCUUUAACCGUAAUUUUACUGUAUCAUCCCUAAUUAAUUAUUAUAAGUCAUUGAUAUAUUAAAAUUAAUAAUAUUUAAUUAAAAAAUAGAAGUUUAUGAUGUUUGUUUCAACAUCUUUAACCGUAAUUUUACUGUAUCAUCCCUAAUUAAUUAUUAUAAGUCAUUGAUAUAUUAAAAUUAAUAAUAUUUAAUUAAAAAAUAGAAGUUUAUGAUGUUUGUUUCAACAUCUUUAACCGUAAUUUUACUGUAUCAUCCCUAAUUAAUUAUUAUAAGUCAUUGAUAUAUUAAAAUUAAUAAUAUUUAAUUAAAAAAUAGAAGUUUAUGAUGUUUGUUUCAACAUCUUUAACCGUAAUUUUACUGUAUCAUCCCUAAUUAAUUAUUAUAAGUCAUUGAUAUAUUAAAAUUAAUAAUAUUUAAUUAAAAAAUAGAAGUUUAUGAUGUUUGUUUCAACAUCUUUAACCGUAAUUUUACUGUAUCAUCCCUAAUUAAUUAUUAUAAGUCAUUGAUAUAUUAAAAUUAAUAAUAUUUAAUUAAAAAAUAGAAGUUUAUGAUGUUUGUUUCAACAUCUUUAACCGUAAUUUUACUGUAUCAUCCCUAAUUAAUUAUUAUAAGUCAUUGAUAUAUUAAAAUUAAUAAUAUUUAAUUAAAAAAUAGAAGUUUAUGAUGUUUGUUUCAACAUCUUUAACCGUAAUUUUACUGUAUCAUCCCUAAUUAAUUAUUAUAAGUCAUUGAUAUAUUAAAAUUAAUAAUAUUUAAUUAAAAAAUAGAAGUUUAUGAUGUUUGUUUCAACAUCUUUAACCGUAAUUUUACUGUAUCAUCCCUAAUUAAUUAUUAUAAGUCAUUGAUAUAUUAAAAUUAAUAAUAUUUAAUUAAAAAAUAGAAGUUUAUGAUGUUUGUUUCAACAUCUUUAACCGUAAUUUUACUGUAUCAUCCCUAAUUAAUUAUUAUAAGUCAUUUAUAUAUUAGAAUUAAUAAUAUUUAAUUAAAAAAUAGAAGUUUAUGAUGUUUGUUUCAACAUCUUUAACCGUAAUUUUACUGUAUCAUCCCUAAUUAAUUAUUAUAAGUUAUUUAUAUAUUAAAAAUUAAUAAUAUUUAAUUAAAAAAAUCAGCUGCUUUGUCAUUUACUAUAUUAACCUAAUUGCUCGGUGAUUUAUUAUAUUACCCCUAAUUAAUUACUAUAAGUCAUUUAUUUAUUAGAAAUUAAUAAUGUUUUUUUUAUUAUAUUACCCCUAAUUAAUUAUUAUAAGUCAUUUAUAUAUUAUAUUUAAUAAUAUUUAAUUAAAAAAUAUAUAUUUAUGACAUUUAUUUCAGCUGCUUUAACCAUGAUUUCACUAUAUCAUCCCUAAUUAAUUAUUCUAAGUUAUUUAUGUAUUAAAAAAUUAAUAAUAUUUAAUUAAAAAAUAGAUGAAAUGUCUGCCUAUAUUAUCCCUAAUUGCUCCGUGAUUUACUAUAUUACCCUAAAUUAAUUAUUAUAAGUCAUUUAAAGUUAUUUAUGUAUUAAAAAAUUAAUAAUAUUUAAUUAAAAAAAUAUAUGACAUGUCUGCCUAUAUUAUCCCUAAUUGCUACGUGAUUUACUAUAUUACCCUAAAAUAAUUAUUAUAAGUCAUUUAUAUAUUAGAAUUAAUAAUAUUUAAUUAAAAAUUGAUAUUUAUGACGUUUGUUUCAGCUGCUUUAACCGUGAUUUUACUAUAUCAUCCCUAACUAAUCAUUAUAAGUCAUUUAUGUAUUAAAAAAUUAAUAAUAUUUAAUUAAAAAAAUAGAUGACAUGUCUGCUGCAGCUGCUUCAACCAUAAUUUUGCUAAAUAUCGCUUAUAAUUAAUUAUUAUGAGUCAUCUAAGUGUAAAAAAUUUAAUCAUAUUUUUUUAAAAAAAAUAGACACAAAAUGAUAAAUUAACUCUUGAUGUAUUAAAUUAAGUUGACCUCCUUCAACCGUGAUUUUACUGUAUCACCCAUAAUUAAUUAUUAUUAGUCAUUUAUGUAUUAAAAUAUUCAUAUUAUUUAAUUAAAACAUUGGUUUCGACAUGGCUGCUUCAAGAGCUGCGCCGUAAUUUUACUAUAUCACCCCUAAUUAAUUAUUAUAAGUCAUUUAUGUAUUAGAAAAUUAAUAGUAUUUAAUUAAAACAAGAAAAAUAUGUGUUUAUGACAUGUUUGUUGCAGCUGUUUCAACCAUAAUUAUCUUUGAGAAGAUGAUCCAAGACUUUGUGUUAAUUGAAGUAUCUUUUGUUCCAGUUUUUAUAUGAAAUAAUCUUAUGAAUAUUAGUUCUACAUCUUUUCUAUAUUUUGUAGCAGGUCUCAAUUUUAUCAUCAAACAAUUAAAAUAACCCGACUACACGACACAUUACACCUUUUUAUCAUGUGGAAAAAAACUAUCUUAUAAAACUUCACUCCUUAGCGAGUACCAUCAAAUAGUUAUUAUUUAAAAAAUUAUCGUUUUAAAUCAAUGUACAUUUAUGUUUGUAUCUCAUCAAUAUUGAAUAUUGGUGCUAAAAGAUGUCUAUAGUGUUGGAUCCGUGCUGACACGGGCCAUGCACCUCUUGUAUAUAUAUAUAUAUAUUAUAUUAUAAUCUAUUUAAAGUGUGAAGGGCGUUAGAAAUGUCGCUUGAACUUUUUACCCUUCAUUAAAAGUCUUUUCUUUAGAUAAAAAUCAUAUUUUGACUAUUUUUUUUAAUUAUUUAAUAGUUAAAAAUCAAUUAAAUAUAUUUAUGAUAAACCUUUAAAACUUUUUAAGAAGAUUUAAAAAGUCUAUAAAUUUACAUCUACAAUAUAUUAAAUCCAUUAACCAUUUGAAAUUUGUGAUGAUAAAAUAUACAUGUGCUUAUAAUAAAAUAUAUAUUUUAAACUUUUUACAAUUCAUUAAAAAAAUUAUCUAAUUUUAAAUAAUCAAAAGUUAAUUGCACGUGCAGCUAAACUAGUAAUUAUACAAAUUUCCAUUGACAAAGUGAGGAGUAUAUUCUUUCAAAUCCUCUAACCAAUUUACAGCGGAGUUGGUAGUCCAAAAUAUUUCAAGAAAACUUGUUUCUCUUGUCUUGUUUCCUUUUAAACCCUUUUGUCCACUCUUUACAUUUCUACUACUCAAUUCAUUUGUUCACCAUAUAUUACCUGCCUUGUCUCCAUCUUUUCUCAACUGGGUAUGCCUUCAAAUUUCACCUAAUUCUGUGCUUUCUUUAGGGUUUCUCAUUGUUUUCAUUAAAUUCAAUCAUUCUUUUCUUUGUGGAUUUACUUUUUUAAGUGUGUUCUUUAUAUGAGAUCCCAAUUCACUUUGUGGGGUUUUUAGUAUUUGAUAAUUUUACUUUACUGUAAGUGAUAUUAUUAUACUUUGUUGCUUUGUUAGAAUUACUAGCAUCAUCUGUUUUCUUUGUGGGUUUUCUUUAAUUCUGCUUAUUGUGUACUCAUUUGGAUCUUCCUUGUUACUGUUUUUUUUGGUGGAACUUAGUGUUUGGAAUUUAGAUUUGUUGUGCCCUUAAAUAAGUGGUGUUUUUAGUUUGAACACACCCUUAACCAAACUACUCAUUCCUAGAAAACAAAGAUUGUUUUUACUAACUUAUCCUUGAUAAAUACUUUGGAAAAGAUAGUACUCUUUAGUAGUUUCUUGCUUAUUUAAAACUCUUUUUAUUUAAAAGAAGUUAAAAAUGAAGGAACAACAUGAAUGUCUUCUUGAUUAUCUAAAGUACUACUUAUUUGGGAAUAAAAUCAAAAGGCUGAAAACCACUUAAUUUAGGAAUGGAGGGAGUAGGCGGACAUUGAUUAUAAAAGUUGGCGUGAAUUUCCAGGUUCAGUUUGUGAUUCUGUUAGUUUUUAGUGCUUUCUUGAUUUACUUUUGCGUUUGUUCUGAAUCUUGAUAGAGGCAAUGUCGCAAGGCUAUGCUAUUGAGCUCUACUUUGAUCCUGCACUGGAAAACCAGGUCCUGAAGGCCUGGAAUGUAUUGGCUCGGCGCCAGAUUAGCACUCAGCUUAUUGAGAUUGAGUCUAGACCUCACAUUACCCUCUUCUCGAGUCCCAAUUUUGAUCCAUCAAAGCUUGAGAACAUUGUAAAGAAUUUUUCGUCCAAGCAAGAAUCUUUGCCUCUGUCCUUUGGUUCAAUUGGAAGCCUCCCAAGUGAUGACAAUGUUCUAUUUCUUGCCCCAACACCAACUUUGUCUCUACUUCAGUUCCACUCACAGCUGUUUGAUGCUAUGAAAAAGGAGGGCAUUGAGAUUGCAGAUGAGCAUCGUCCUGAUACGUGGAUUCCUUAUUGCCCGGUAGCUGAAGAGGUGCCUAAAACUCGUAUGGGGGAGGCAUUCACUGUUUUGAGGGAUCUGAAAUUACCUGUUGCUGGAUAUGCAAUGGAAAUUGCACUUGUCGAGUAUCCUCCAGUUCGUGAAGCAUUUUCUUUUGUGCUUGGUAAUACAGUUGAACCUUGAGGUUUCAGACAUGUAAUUGUGUUGAUUUUAGUUUAGGCUUUUACCUUUCAUAUCCUAUAUAGUUGCUCUUGUAGAACCUGAUAUAGAUGGUUAAGAGUGUUAUUAUCGUUGCUAAAUGGUCAUCUGCUUUGAUGAAAUAUUAAGUCAUUUCUGAUUCUUUCCUAUUGUUCGUACUUGCAUUGAGAUGUUGAUCUCUUAUGUCAGUGUUGGUGAUAAUAACAUGCUUAUUUUUUUUUCUUAUCUAUGGGAAGUCUCUGGUCGACCUCUAUUAGCAUAGAAAUUUUAUUUGCUUCUGUGUUCUAUCUUAUAAAUCAUGAACAUUGUUUGGCUUACGUGUUCUACUUUGUAAGUCUUGAAUGUGGUUCCUUUCAUUCAAAUGUAAUAUGUUUUAGUUCUUGUUAAGUUUAGCAAGUUCGAAUCAUGUGAGGUAAAUUUGCUUUUGUUAAAUAAUGUUGAGUAUAAAACUUGCUUGCGUUUAAAAAUGUUCACUUAUACAUUACUGCAGUACACCUUCUAAUUUGCAAGUCUCAAAGAUCAUGUGCUUUCUUUAGAUUGUAAUAUAUCCUGGUGCUUGUUGAAUUUAAUAUGAUUGAAUCAUGUGAGGGGAGUACAGAAGCUACCAGUUUUGUAUGGUUGGUAAAUCAAAUAGUAUUUGGAGAAAACAUGAGGCAGAGUUGAUUGAUGUACUAGCUGAAUAAACUGGAUAAAAGACAAGAACAGUCCAUUAUGUUUGACGUUGGUUUUGACUAACCCUUUUUUUUUUUUUUUUUUUUUUUUUUUUUUUUUUUUUUUUUUUUUUUUUUUUUUUUUUUUUUUUUUUUUUUUUUUUUUUUUUUUUUUUUUUUUUUUUUUUUUUUUUUUUUUUUUUUUUUUUUUUUUUUUUUUUUUUUUUUUUUUUUUUUUUUUUUUUUUUUUUUUUUUUUUUUUUUUUUUUUUUUUUUUUUUUUUUAAAAUCAUGG